This 72703-nucleotide long non-coding RNA is filed under the name Lathyrus oleraceus (garden pea). Its description in RNAcentral is "Pisum sativum (pea) long non-coding RNA (PSAT_LNC037002)". The stretch from base 689 to 814 matches the Rfam family "small nucleolar RNA snoR143". The record is from RNAcentral. Lineage: Eukaryota; Viridiplantae; Streptophyta; Magnoliopsida; Fabales; Fabaceae.
AAAAAGUGAAACCCUAAUAAAAAUUUAGAGUGCUUUAUAUAGCGUGUGGGUUGUUGUCCUUGUUCGAUGCCUUCAGCUGCUUAGCCGAAGGUAGAACUAAAGCGGGCGAUGAUUAUAAUGAGAGAGGACUCUAGUGGGAAACACCCAAUUCCAUCGGAAAAUCACAAUCCCUAAUUUCCAUCAAUAUCCAAACAAGAAAAUGAAAAGAAAAUAUAUAGGUCAGAAUUUGAAGGUGCCGCCACACCCUUUUCAUCCAAGGGUUUGGUUUUGGUAUCUCAGAUUCUGCCGCCUUCUUCUUUCUCCUCUUCAUCUUUCCGUCCCUUCAAAUUGAAUUGGGUGUUUUUCCUACAGUGACAGAUCUUUCAAAUUUUACACUUGAGAUAUGAGCCCCUAAUUCUUCAGAUUUUUUUAAUUUGUGUUUCUAUAGUUGUAGUUUUUUUUCCUACACUGAUUUGAUUUUGGAUGAGAGACACUUGCAUGUUGAUUUUUGUUGAAAAUCUAGUGCAUACACAAAAAGCUCGAUUAUAACUAUGGCUUGUUUCUCAGUGUCAGAUCUACACUUAUUUUAUUUUAUUUUUCUUGUUUUUUUGUUGCACUGAUUUGAUUUUGGAUUGGGAAACAGUUACAUGUUGUUUUCUCGUUGAAGAAUCAGUGCGUACACCAAAAGCUUGAUUUCAGCUACUGCUUGUUUCUGAUGUUUUCAGAAAUUUGGUGGAUUUGUUGUGAUUGGGCAGCGGCCAGACAACCGUAGAGAUGGAAUCCACGGAUCUUGAGUUUUUCUCUCUCAAUAUUCUACUAAUUCCAUCUUACAUUUUCUUAUGUUUAGGUGUUAGUUAAAUGUAAAUGUUAAUUUUCUGCAUUUGCACAUUUAUGUUUUCUUUUAAUUUGAUGGGAUCUCGGAGCUUUCAGAUUCAUGUUAAUAAAUAGUGAAGAAUUUGAUGGGAACUCGGAGCUCUCAUUUUUUUAUACAUGUUAUAAAUUGGUUACUUUUCUUAAUUUGUUUACAUUUUUAAUGCAUUAAUAUGUUUAUUUACACCUGAUUGAGAAGAGUAUCUUUUAGAAGAUGACCUUCACAAGGAUAUAGAAUUCCUUGUCCAUCUAUUUCUAUACAUUUGCUUCCUCCGUUACCUUUUAAAUGUUAUUUUUUAAAAAUUAAUUUUUUUCCCCACAAUAUCUUUAUUUUUUUAGUAAUUUAUUUAUUUAUUUUUUCUCUAUAAUAAAUGAUUGAAUAAUUUUGAUAAUAUUACUUCAAUAUUACAUUGAACUUUAAAAUACCAAUUAAAAAUAAACAAUGUUUUUCUUCUAAAAAGUAACUUAAAAAGUAAGAGAGGGUGUACUAUUUUCUUUGGGAGAAGGAAGAGACAAGAGGACCGGAAACACAUACUCCUUUCAUUUUUGAUUUUGGGUGAAAAGUCAAAAAUAAUUUAUAAUAAAAAAUGGAGUUGGUUUUGGGUGAAAAGUCAAAAAUGAUUUAUAGUAAUAAAAAACGGAGGGAAUAUUUUCGUAUGAAAGCAGCUACAACAUCUUGGGGGAGAGACCUUUUAUCUAAACGUUUGAAAUAGUGGUUAUUGACUAUCAAUAUGAAAAUAAAAAGAGAUUUCUUAAGGGAGAGACCUUUUAUCUAAACGUUUGAAAGAGUGGUUUUGACUAUCAAUAUGAAAAUAAAAAGAGAUUUUUUAAGGUAUCCAAUAUAUUUUUUUAGGCAGUACACAAAAUAAUGAAAUAUUUUCUAUAGGAUUGACUUGAACAAGGUAAGAUGAAAUAUCUCUAUAGGAUUGACUUGAACAAGGUAAGAUGACCUUUAGUAUAGGACUUUCAAAUUAAGGGAAUCUAUUAUGUUUUAAAAUAAAUAAAAUAUAUAAUUAAUAUUUUAUAUUAAAUAAAUUAUAAAAUAGAAAAUAAAUAUAAAUUCGUCAAUGGCUAAGUGGAAACGGAGUGAGUUCAAAGCAUGGUGGUAAAUGUUUUAAGUUUGAUUCUCUUCAUUUCAUUUUUUAAAAUGACAGUUGCAUCAAUUUUUUUUCAAAUAGUUCGAUCCUUCUGCUUUCAUUGUUAACGUGUCGGAAUCGUGUAUGAUGUUGGUGUAAUGUAUGAUGUUGAAGGCGCGAAUACCCCUGAAACUCUUGUUGAUUUUGGUAACAUGGAAGAAAGUAUUUAUGUGAAUGUAUAAAAGAUUAAUGUAUGCUUUUUCAAGAAUCUUUAGCAUAAGAUUGUUCUUUCUAUUUUAAUUUUAUAUUUCAUACACAUUUUUAGCAAUGGGUUGCUUUUACACUAUUUUGAAAUUGAUGCGCAUCAAAUACAAUAUGAUCAAUUUCUUGAUUUACAACAAAAUCACAAAAUAAAAUAAAAGAAAGAAGAUAAAGACAAUUCAACGUGGUUAAAACCUGGAUUAUUGAUUUAAUUACACAUUAGAGAAUAAUGUUUACAAUUGAAUAUCAACCACAUCAUUUUCUCCCUUUGAUUAGGAUUAUUAGGGAGAGAUGAAAAUUAAUAUUCUAUUUAUAAGUACACUAAACUCUAACUUUAAACUAACAUACUAAACAAUUGACCCAAUAGACUGAUCCAAUUCAAAAUGCAAACUUAAAUAAUAAGUUAACAUACUUCGACAACUACAUUAGCUCUUCAACUUCGAAGAGUUUUUUCGACUUCAACAGAGUUUGCUACAACACUAGCUUAUAAUCCAUAAUAUCCUCCUUGGAAUAAACUCUGAACCUCGAAACCAACUACUUUUUUUCAUGCAGUCCUAUCAGCUGCAUAUAGUGAAAAAAUUUACAACUUGAUAAUGUCUUGGUGAUCAUAUCAGCAAGAUUGUAAUUAGUUGAAAUCUUCAACAUUCGACUUCUAUACGCUUAAUUAUCUAUCAGAAGAAAUGCAGUCUCACGUCGAUGUGCUUGGUUCGCUCAUGAUAUGUUGAAUUCUUUGACAAGUGUAUUGUGAGGGCGAAGGUUCUUAGUCCUUGUUUUAAUGAUGUCAAACCUUUUAGUAGCUCAUACUGUGUACUUUAGACGGUGUCAUCAUAUCGUAGAGUGCAUUCAUUAUUUAGCAUGCUCAAAGUAUUAAUUCAACGUGUUUAUGCAUACAGGAGCAUCUCAUAUAUGUUAAUAUUGCACUUGAUCAUUGUUGGUACCUUAGGUCCAUAAGAGAAUGGUUUGCAUUGACCAAAAUACAUCUUAAAAACUCAUUUUGACCAUUUAAAAUCUUUGAGUCGACUCAUGCUUUGGAGAGGUCGAUUCAUUCAUGCAUGUCAUUUUCUUUAUAACUCACGGGUCUGAUCAGAUCGAGUCAUAGGUCGAGUCAUUUCUAGAAAAACAAGAUGAGUUGAGUCAUCUCACUAUUGCGGUCGACUCAUAACCUAUUUUAUUUGGAUUGUGUUGCCGCGGGUCUAAACAAGUUGAGUCAUAGGUCGACUCAUUUCUGAAAAAAACAAGAUGAGUCGACUCAUCUCCCUGUUGUGGUCGACUCAUAACCUGUUUUAUUUGAAUUGUGUUGCUGCGGGUCUAAACAGGUCGAGUCCUCAGUGUGAACAGAUCGAGUGGUCAUUGAUUUCACUCAUUUUUCUAUUGUGUAUUUUUGCUAAAAGUUCUGCUGUGUUUUUCACUUUGUUCAUAUAUAUAUAUAUAUAUUUUUUUUUUUUUGAGUCUCAUUUUCAUAAAAUACACAAGAAAAGUGAAAUAUAUACACUAAAGUUCUUAUUCAUCUUCAUUCUUCAUUGCAUGUUUAAACAACUACACAUAACAAUUUUUGUUGAUCAUAGUGCAUUGUUGUGGUGAUAACGUCUAAAUAGGAUUAUGUAUCUUGUUUGGGUAGAGGUUUUUAGUGGGUUUUUCUUGAAUAAAAUCUUAGGAUUUUGUCCUCCAAGAUUUGGGAUUUUUUGCAUAAAUCUUUGCUUCAUAGAUUCAGCCGAGUGAAAGGUUUGGAGAAUGAUGGGUUCAUUCGAACGAGUAACGGUAACCAGAGGAUUGUGAAGUAAGGUUUGGGUUCAAGCGUGUCGCGAUCAAAAUCAGCCGAGCUAGAGUUUUGGAGAACUUAGAGUUCUUGCAAUAAGGUAACUACGAUUGUAGGUUUGUUCGGAACGUUUGAAGCACUUGGUUCAACUUGAACCAAGGGAAGAGAAGUGAAUAGGAUCUACAACAACACUUAGGUUUGCUUGGUAGGGAUCAUUUCUUCUCUUGUAUAAACUUUGCAAUUGAUAAUAAAUAUCUCAUUCUAGUUUUAGAAUUGGGGGCAGAUGUACCGGAAGCGAGGACGAAAGGGGAACUGCCUAAACAAAUUUGGUGUUGUUCUCUCUUUCUCUAACUCUUUAAUUUCUACAUAAUAUGAAUCUUACGUGAAACUAAUUUGUAACUUCAUCUCGCUUAAUUGUUCUGCAUUAAAGUUGUUUGAUCAAUUGUUGCAAUCACUUUGGUUGUAACUAAGGAAAAUUUUGCACAAUCAAUUCUAGUGAAAUUAAGACUUGGUGUGGUGUGCACACCAAGUGUUUGCUAAAAUUAACUUCACACAAAUUUAUCAAUAUUUUGCUUGUUUUCUCAUUGUUUUAAUUCAUAAUUGGUGGUAGUUAUAUCAAGGAUUUGUGUAUUUGAUCGAUUGAUUAAGAUUGUUGUUGAUUAGCUUUAUCUUAGUCAUUCCAUUAGGUUUCACGCAUAUCCGAUCUUUCCAGUAACAAAUUAUUUAGACGAUCGUGGUCUAGGGAGCUUUCAUAACCUUUAAAAACAAUUUUGAAAAGCGCUAAAUUUUUAAAUACUGAUUUAUUCAACCUCUCCUUCUAGAUCGAUACUAUUGUCUAACAUGUAUUACACUUUGCAUAUCACAUUUAAUAGUGAUUGCUUGACCUUGAAGUUUUAUCUCUUUAGAAAAACCUUCAAGCCAUAAUGCUUCUUUCACAUCUUCAGUGAGGAUAAUAUACUUUUGCUUUUGUGGUUGACAACACAACAACCUUCUGAAGUGUUUUUUUACAACUGAUUAUUGUGCCAAAAAUAGUAGACACAUAUCCAGAAAUAGAUUUUCUGGAAUCCAAACACCUUCAUAAUCAGAGUCGAUAGAUCCUUCGAUUUCUGCUUUGCUAUCAUCACCACAGGCUUCACCAUAAAUCAUGACUUUUCUCAUAGCCCUAUUUAUGUACCUUAGAAUCCACUUCAAUGCUUGCCAGUGCGGUUUUCCAAGAUUGGUCAUAUACCUGCUUACAAGGAUCACUUCGUACGUUAUGUCUUGCCUUAUACAUAUGAUAACAUACAUAAAAGAAUCUACUAUACUAGCAUAUGAAAUGUUAUUCAUAAAGGCUCUGUCGACUUCAGUACUAAGACUUUGAGUCGUACUCAGUUUGAACUGAGGAUUAAUCGUUGUUGCAAUAGACUUUGAAUUCGACAUACCAAACUUGUCGAGAAUAUUCAUUAGGUAUAUCUCUUGAGAUAAGCAUAAACUUGAUUAUUUUCUCUCUCUCUAGAUGUCAAUCCCAAGAAUUAUUGAGGCAACUCCUAGAUCCUUCAUGUCGAACUUCUUAUCAAUUUCAACUUUCACCUUUAUAACAUCCUCAACAUUAUUGAUUUCUAUGAGGAUGUUAUCCACCUAGAGCAACAAAAUAACAAGUGAAUUUCCAGGUCAAAAUCUUAAGGAAACACAAUGGUUGAACUAGCUCUUCGACUUCGACAAAUCUUUUUCGACUUUGAUAGAGUUUUUUACAACAUUAGCUUAUAACCAAUAAGCUAUUACACAUUUUGAGUAAAUGUUAUGAAUACUUAGCAGUAUAAUUUAACCAUCCCAUUUUGGUUUUCAAUUUUAUUCAUGUCUUUUAGAUUGUCAUUAUUACAGUAUAUAUGGCCUUGAUAUUUAGGCAUCUAUUAUAUUCAUCAUAGUAUUUUGAAUAUUUUCAAACUUCAUUCUGUUAACUUCGAUAUUUGAUAUAUUAUCAAGAGAUGUUACAAAGUAUGGUAAUUUUCACUUGUGACAAACUAAUCAAUGUUGAUUCUAAUACUAUUUUUAUUAUUUAUUUAGACUAAUGAAAAGAUUGUCGCGAUAUUAAGGUCAUAGGUGGGCGUUGUUAUAGCUAAUAUUGUUGCUGAGGAAUACAAGAAUUUGGCAGAGAAGUGAGUGCAGUAAAAUAUUUUUAUUUGACGAAUACAAGAAUAUAUUUUUUUAAAGUGUAUUUUUUAUUAUUAAUAUUCCAUUUUUAUUAUUUCCCCCGAGCAUCUACAAAAUUAGGACCAACCCUAGCCCUAUAGUUUUCGGAGAUGCAUCUUCGGACGCAUCCAAUACACACCUAGCAUAUGCCAUUAUCAGUGACACUCUAUAAAUUGAGUUUUAUUUAUUUAUUUUGGAGAUGCAUCUUCGGGAUAUUUCAAGAAAAUAUUCAUAAUUGAUCAACUCAGUUGAAAUUCCGGUGAUGCUUCUUUGGAAGUUUGGAUGGGAUUUUGAAAUAUUUUGGCACCUUUACAUGUCAGAUAUUUUUGGAGAUACAUCUCCAAAAUAAUCUAAUAAAACAUACAGCUACAUGAUCACGCAUCCAUUAUUGUUUUUCUUUAUAAACCCUCACAAAAAACCCUUCCAUUCUUAAUCCACAUUUUUAGGUUGUCAUACCCCAAAUUUCCCCCACCUAAAGACAUUCAUCCGUAUUUCAGUUAUCCGUAUUCACUAGUUUACAUCCGUUCAUCUGCACGAAUCUACCUCUAUGAUUCAUUAGGUAGUUCAUAUGCAUCUUAUCUCAUGCUCAUGUUUAAGAUCCCAUUUCCAUGCAUGGGUCGUGAUUAAUUAAUCAUCGAGUAAUUAGUCUUGUUUGUCUCACUUUGCUAAGAUUAGUGCAUACACCCUUAUCAUGCGUACAUUUUUCCUUAAUACACCAUUUCGUUCAAUUUAGAAAUAUUUGCGAAUCCCACGCCAUUUGAAUCUACCAUCCAGAAUCAUUGUCAUCGGGUUUCCAUCUUAAUGAAUAAAUUUUAUUUCAUGAAAUAUCUAACUUUGGUUUGGAACAUAGAUAUGAUUAACGAGAAUGAAUUUUUCAUAGAACGAAUCAUGUUAUUCAUUUUUCGAAACCAAAUUAAAAAAAAAGGGAGACGUUCACAACGUUGAACAUUUUAAAUUUCACUUUGAUCUUGAAUAUUUCUUUUUUUUUCUUUUUCUUUUCUUUUCUCUUCUCACCCAUAUUAAUUCAAGAUGGCCCCAAAAUGACACAUUAUUUUUGGUCAUAAUUUUCAUUUGAUCUCACCUUCUUCAUGAUAUGAUCCAGGGAUCUAUUUUGAACUUAAGGUAACAAGCAUGUUUUUAAUAAAAGGAUUUGCAAUGUAUCAUUAUGUUACAAGAGAAAUUUUUAAAAAUAAACUUGGUAUGUUUAAGAUUGGUGUCACAAUUUGAUUAAAAAUAGGGGAUGUGCAAGGUAAAAUCUUUAUUGCUACAAAAUUUCUUUCCUUGCCAAAGUUACAAAAAUCUAAGUCUUCAAUUUUUUGUUGUUCUUUUCUCAAGAAGUUCAUAGCCAUUUCUCCACAUAGCCUCUUGAUGCAUCUUGAUACCUGUAAUAACAAGCAAAAAAUCAGAAUUUCAAGAUUAAAAAAAGAAGAAGAAGGAUACCAUAAGUUACUGUUGUUGUUCAAACUUUAUGGUAGCAGGUUUUGUAUGUUAUAACCAAGAUGAAAGAAACACAAUAGAGGGAAGACUUACACCGAACUGGAAGGACACAUAAAGUAUCUCAGAAAGUUUUCCGCUUUUAUUGCUACAAAUAGAAUUCCAGCAACACCACACAAGAAAACCUAUGUCAGUCAUUAUAAGGGAUCAAUAUGCAAUAAGGGGGGGGGGGGGGUCAUUAACAUAAACCAUUCUGAUACAUAGAAAAUAGGAUACAACAUAAAAAAAAGAGAACAGAGGGAGCACAAUAUGGACGAAAAUUUGUAUGAGUAGGUGAAGUAAGGACAAAAUUACACCAAGCAAAACAAGCAUUUUCUAAAUUCACUGAAGAAAGAAGAUAUUUGCGCCUUGCGUAAGACUCGUUUCUUGUGGAAUGUUUCCGCCCAUUUUUUUAUGCUAACUCUGUUGUGUGUUUUCUUUCUGGAAUAACUACUGUGUGUUUGUUUUCUUUUCCUCUAAAGUUUCUAACUUUAAUUCUUUUGAACAAUCCGAUAUUUUGGUGACGACCCGUAGAGGACCUUGGAUUUGGGUGAGGAUUAGGAUUUAGGUCGUGGCCAUUUUGAGAGAGGAAGGAGAAAAUUCUUUUUUAGUUGGAGUGUUUUCUCCUUCGGAUGUCGUGAAGCGUUGAGGCCGCUGUCACGAAUGGUGGACGUCACGAGCCGUUGAAGCCGCCGUCACGUUUGGUUGGGGUUGCGAACAUUGAAGCCACUGUCGCGUUUGGUUGGGGUCGUGAGCUCUUGAAGUCGCCGUCACGAAUGGUUGAGGCCGCGACACAGGUGAUAGAGAUCACCAUCGUUUUUGCUUGGGCUGGCCGAAAAAAGUUGGAAUUUUCCUUUUUCCGCCGCGUGUUCGUGGUCGCUGUCUCGUGAGGAAGCCAUUUGUGUGUUUGUAUCGCCGAAUCUGUUGGAGACGGACGAUUUCGUUAGUUACAAUAGGAGAUUGUUGAGGCUUGAACCUCGAUUUAGGCCUUAAGGGGUUUGCGCCCUUCUUUCUCUUUCGUUCUUGGGGAAAAGUUCUUGAUUGUGAAAAGUUGGAAUUUUCCUUUUUCCGCCGCGUGUUCUUGGUCGCUGUCUCGUGAGGAAGCCAUUUGUGUGUUUGUAUCGCCGGAUCUGUUGGAGACGGACGGUUUCUUUAGUUACAAUAGGAGAUUGUUGAGGCUUGAACCUCGAUUUAGGCCUUGAGGGGUUUGCGCCCUUCUUUCUCUUUCGUUCUUGGAGAAAAGUUCUUGAUUGUGAAUAUCUGGUUGUGAUCAAUACUGAUUUUGUUCAGGUUUUUUUCAAAGAAAAGAAGGGAUGGGGAGCGUUGGGAACUAAUUUCUAUUUUAUGUGCUUGAUAUUUCGUUUUCUCUUUUGUGUUCCCAAUACUGUCAUUACCACACCUUUUGAGUAACUCUAGGUCUAUUGAAGAUGCCAACGUCACUUUACAUUUCCCAUUUAAUAUUAGUUGGCGUUUAGAAUAUGGUUGGCAUUCAUUGGCUUUUGUUUGGUUCUCAUGUGAAGUUUACUUUGACUAAGAGGGGGGCGGCGGUCUUUACUUAGAUCUAGGUUUUUCAAACUUGUCAUUGUUACCAUUUGGGUUGGGUCGAGUCCGACCUGCCUCAAAACCCCAUCUGUCUUCCACGUGGGCUUCUUACCUGCCCAAACCGUUAUUAUUUUUUAAUUUAAUUUGUUCUUUAUAGUUUUAUAUAUGUACCCACGGAUGUAUCCACCUUCCAACCAACCACUCUUGGCCUAGUGGUUGCAACUUCUUGUCUCCCACUAGGUCCUUGGUUUGAUUUCUGCCUUGAUUGUUUUCUUUUUGUCCUCAUUUUAUUUCUUAUAGAUUCAUCUUUCUCUAUUUUCUCUUCUUCUGUGAUUAUUUUAUCUAGGUUAAUCAUUUUUUUGUAUCUCCAUUUAAGUCAAAUUAUUCCAAAACUCCAUUUUUAUUAUUUUUCUAUUUUUGUCUUUUAGGUAUCAAAAUGAAACUUAUAUUUUUAUUCUUAUAUUUAUAAUCAACAUAUUUAGAUGUCCCCCCAUAUCAAGCCUUUAUAGAAACAUCCAUUCAAUUUCUUUGUUUAAACUCCUGCUUCGGUUAUUUGAAUCUCAAACCUUCACCUUAGCCUUUUUUUAAAAUUAUUUUUCAAUCUCUUUCGCAGUAAAAUCUGAAGAAAAAGAUUACUCUGGAUGGAAUACCCAAUCGUAAUCCCGAAUAUUAGGCCUAAGCUGUAAGAGCUUGCAAGCCAUAAGUAUUCGUCUUCUCUUCAAAACACUCCAAUAUUCAAAUCAUUUUCAUAAGUGAAUCCGAAUAAAAAGACUACCUGGAUGAAAUAUCCAGUCGUAAUCCUGAAUAUUAGGCCCAAGUUGUAAGAGCUUGCAAGCCAUACAUAUUCGUCUUCUCUUCAAAAUACUUGUAAAUAUUUAAACCAUUCUCAUAAUUAAAAUUGGAAGAAAAAAAUUGUCUGGGUGAAAGGUCCAAAUGUAGUCCCGAGUAUUAGACCCAAGUUGUAAGAGCUUUCAAGUCAUAAAUACUCGUCUUUCAAGCCCAAAAAUACUUCCAACCAAUCAAACCUUUUUUUUCUCGCGUGUUGUGCGAUUGAUCAGAAAACCUUUUUAUAAAUGAAAGACAUCUUGUAUUAAGAUGAUGUAAAGCAAUGCUUCAGCCAUAAUUGUUGAGUUGAGAUAAGUGACAUUUUUCUGAAUGUUGAUUUGUAAAUCCAUUCGAUGUGUGGUAUACAUCCGCUCCUCGUCUGUUUUGGGUAAAACAAUGUUUGCAUCGAUUAAUACAAUAUAACAUUCGCUAAAAUCGACCAACAAAAAAAUAUUUUCUACCCAGAACUACGUAAGCCUUGAGUUCUCUAUUGCACCCGGAGAUACGUAGGAGCAGGAUUUGUAAAUCUUGUCAGGCCCAUUAAUAAAAAACUUAGGUUUAGUCCCAUUCGUUGCAAAAAAUCCAAAAACAUCUCCUCCUUUCUUUUGAUUAUACUCUUCUUUCCCUUAUAAUAACUCGAGAAGCCUAACAUUUCUAAGCUAACACUAACACGCACAAUUAACCUAAUGGUUCCCGUUGAGUACAACGGACGUGGGGGGUGUUAAUACGUUCCCCUUACGUAAUUGAAUGUAGCGGUAAAUUCAUGAUCAUCAAGCUAUGGAUAAGCAAGACAUCAAAUAACAAGAGUCGUCACCGUGGCUUUAUUGUUUCCAAGGGAAAAGGGAAAAGUACGAACAAAACCCAUAAGUAAGAAGUUUUCAAAUCAAAACUAAUAAAAUGCCAGAGAUUACAGGUGAGGGGGUUGGUAACACAGAGGGAAGGUGUUAGCACCCAAAGUGUCUUAGGUACUCCUAGGGAGCCCUUUCUUGUGUGCAUAUGUAUUUUGUACAAAUGAUGUUUGCAAACAAAUAGAAUGGGGGGAUGAGAAAAGAAUUCAUUAAUUAUAUUUUUGUGUUUGACAAGACCUUCAGACUUGUGCCUACGUACCAACAUAAAAAUGAGGGAUUUCAAAACUCCGUAUGUUCGUGAUACACUGAUUUCAAAAAUGGAUGCUUUGCUUUUAACAAAAAUUAGGUUUGAAAGGCACAAAGGCCUAAAAAUAGGUUUGAAUGAGUUAGUUUUCUUUUUAGCUUUUGAACUCUUUAAGUCAAGUAUAGUUAUGUUUAUUUACAUGUUUAUUUAAGAAAAUAAGUUUAAAAUGCAAUGACAUAAGGUCAAAGUUUCUAGUUUGCAAAAUGGUCUAAGUUUAAGAAGAAAAAAAACAAGCACAAUCAAAGAAGUUUUUAAAAAGAGGGGGGGGGGGGGAGGAGAUUUUAAAAUUAAAUAAGUGGGGAAGAGAUUAAGAGACUAAUCCUAAUCAUAAAUUUAAAAUUUAAGAGUUGAAAAGAUCUAACCAAUGGGCUGCAAUCUAAUAGACAAGAAUGUCAUAUAGAAAUCCAAAUUCCCUUGGACAUUAGAAUCAAGCAACAAACAAUGCACACAAUAUUAACUUGAAGAGCAAGACAUCAAAUAAAGAUAGCCACAUCCAAGCUUAACAACUCCAUGAUCUUCUUCAAAUUUGCCCAUGUAGCAGAUGAAUUCCAUAAUGCCAUAAAUCACAGGUUCAAAAUAACAAUUUCACAAUGAUCAUAUUGCAGAUGAACUCAAAUGGAUCUUCAAUGAUGUAUUAGAUGAAGUUUCAGAUUACAAGCACUUGGUUACAUGAAAGUUGGCAUUGGCCAAGUCCUUUACAUGGGGAGUGUUGCCUAAAUUCUAAGUCCAGAUGUCUCAUAUCAAACCAACAGUCUACACAAGAUAUUUUUUAUGGUUUUGGUUUUUUUAUUAUGUACAUUAAUGGUCAAAGACCACACAAACAAACACAAUAUAAACAAGCAAAAUAUAUCAUAAAAUAUGGUCAAAAUGGACAAAGUGAAAAUGACAUUAACAUAGACAAUUAGAAUGGUAUGAAUAAUGGCAAAUGAAUAAGACUUAAAAAUAAAGUGCAUUAAAGUAAAUGACUUGAAAUUAAAUGUUAGUUAUUAAUGAGUUAGAAGUUAGUAUUGCUUUUUAUUUUAAGUCAUUCUUUGGAGAACACUCAACCCACUUAUCACAAGCAUGGAUCCCUGAACCAAUACAUCUUCCAAAGGACGGAAAAAAGGCCAAGUUUCCAAACAAUACCAUGAAAGAGGGGAGACUUACAAUCUCACUAACUAGAAUGCUAUGCCCGUUGUGUCAAAAAAUUUGCGCUAUGUUAAGCAAUCGUAAUUGGACUUAUGUAGAAGUCACAACUAUUUGAGGUCAGGCAAUAGAAUCUUGGUGUUAAUGCAUGUUAGAGACAUAGUAUAAUGGACUAUGCUCAUGAAAUAUACCACACACAAAAAGAAUAUGCAAAAGUGGUGGCCUAAUCUCAUCCAUACUUAUGUUGAUUUUACAACCAACUAGGCUUAGGAUGUAGAGAUAUCAUAGGUCCAUGAUAUGAAUGCAUAAAGAAGGGGAAUGAGAUGAAAAGGGAGGGGAAUGGAUCAAAACUCAAAAUGGACAAAGGAGGACUUUUACCAAAUUAAGAUCAUUCAUUCAUUUUGGGAGAUGGAAUGUACAUUCAAUCAAUCCCCUAAAUCCAAUGAUCUUAACUUAACAAAGUCAAGUCAACCUUGACCAAGGCCCAACAACACAAGUCAAACUUAUGCAAACAAUAAAAAUGGCUUAACACAAUUAUUUGAUAUUUAUUCAAUUUAAAAAUACUAAAAAUAAUGCAUUAAAUUAAAUAUGGUUUGUCAAAUUCCUAAAACCUCAUCAAAACACCAAAGAAAUGGCCAUGAGAUUUAUCAUAGGUCAAACAAGGUCAAAGAAAAUACUAAAAAUAAUGCAUUAAAUUAAAUAUGGUUUGUCAAAUUCCUAAAACCUCAUCAAAACACCAAAGAAAUGGCCAUGAGAUUUAUCAUAGGUCAAACAAGGUCAAAGGACCUUGGAGAAAAUAUUUCAGAAUUUUUAGAAACUUAAAAGUAUUUUUAAAUAAUUAAAAAUAAUAACAAAAUCAAUUAAAUCAUGAAAAAUAUUAAUAAUGAUCCAAAAAAUAAUUUUAAUUCAGAAUAUGGAAGAUGAUUUUAUUUAAAUUUUUUUAGAGAAACUCUCAUAUUUUUCGGAUCAAGAUUAAAAUUAAUAUGAAUUAAUGAAAAUCAAAGGAAUAAAAUGAAAAUCAGAAAAUACAAAAAAACAUGGACCACUUGACCUCCCUCAUUAAUUGAGGUGGCAGAUCAAGUGGUCCUCAGUACGCUUUCCACCAUAGUCACUAGUCAACGUUUAACACAAGUGGUAUUUACAAGCAACGCACGAGAUUAAAACAUUUUGAAUUGAUCAUGUGGCUCAGAACCUGUCCAACACAUCACCGGCGCUAAACCUCCGGUCACCUUCUCAGGCGAACCUCGCCAGACUGGUUCAGUCAUCACCAUCACAUAAAUGAAAAAGGAGGACAUGAUGUGAAAGAAAAAAUGGCGUAAAGCACGAAUCUGACCUCAAUUUCAACUAACUCCAAAUAUAUAGGAAGAUAUGAGGAGUUGAAUUUUGAGGUGUGUCAACUGAGUUGCUUCGAUUUGACCUCAAAGCAACUCAAUCUUCCUACAUUGGUAGGACUUCAGACAACCAAAGAUCCAAGAGAAUUCAUGAGAAUUGAGUGAGAAUUAAAAAGAAGAAAAUUUCUAGAAAAUACCUUCAAUGUUGUGCAGAACUUGCUCUUCCUUGCUUCAAUUCUUGUUUGAUCUUGCUCCAAUGACUUGCAGAAGUGGAUUAGGAAUGGAAAGAAGCUUUAGAUCCUGGAGUUUUUGAAUCUCCAAACAGUGAGAUUCAAACUCAAUUUUCAAGUGAAAAUUAUCAGGUUUUCCUUUGAAUUAUGAGGGUUUGAGGAGAGGGGGCAAAGCUGGCGCGUAAGGAUCCUUUCAAAUGAGCUCAGAGGGUCCAUAUUUAUAGCAUUUGAAAGUGUUAUUUGCACACUUGAAUUUUCUUCUAAAUUUGGCAAUGUCAUGCACAAGCUUGCAUGGGCGUGUACAAGCCCAUGAAGCAAUCCAAUUAGGUCCAAAUGCAUCUGAAAUGAGGUUGGAAUGAAGCUUAAAUGGCAAGGCAAUGUUAUGUGAUCAUUUGAACUUUAAUUUCCACCAAUGAUGCAAGCCUGUUAAAACCAUGCGCAGCCCUAGCAAACUUGGUCCAAAAUGAAUGAAUUAGGACUCUUUGGAAAGCUUAUAUCAAGAGGAACAACUCUUAUGUUGAACACGUUUCCAUUUGGAACUUGGAUCAAGGUGAAUUUUGAGGUGGGAGUUUGGAAAUUUCAACAUGUUGAAAAAUUUUCUAAGUGUCAAGCCAUAUACCUCAAUUUUCCACCUUACUAAACUUUUUAUGCGAGCUUCAAAUGAGAAAUGUGUAUUCAUAAAAGUUGUAGAUAUUUAAAAUACCUUCAAAAUGGUCACAAAUUUGACAUCAUUUGGAUUUAGAAUGAGAGAGUUAUGCAUUUUUUAAGUUGAGGGAAAUCACUUGUUUAAUGGUAUUGGUCCAAAAUGACCUAUAACGUAUCCUCAUAUCACAUGCUCAUAAAAGUUGAUUUAGAUUUCACUCCAAACAUAAAAGUUGAAGUAGACAUAUUUAAUUUUAUUGUGCAACUUGGAAAUAUUUCAUCUCAUAAAAAAUGAGCAAGUUAUGGUUUUGGGAAGUUGACUUUCAAAUUAGGGUUUAGACAAAAUGACCUAUAAUGUUUCAACAUAGAAAAUAAUUUUCCAAGCAAUAUUAGCUCUAGACCUAAACAUGAAAGUUGUUUGGAAUGUCAUUUAGAGUAACUUUUCUCUUGGAAUCAUUUUCAUAUGGUGAAAAUUGUAGGAGAUAGGGUCUAGGGAGACCCAGUUUUGAUCAGAUGAAUUCAUUUGGCCAACCACCAUCAACCAACUUGCUAACUUGCAAUUCUCUUGAUUUUUUAGGCUCAUGGUAGAUAAAAUAUGCAUAAGACGAUUAAUUUUGGAAUGUCCCUUGAGAAAUUUGAUCAAUUUGUGGGGAAUCUUGUUGAAGAAGUUACUCAGGAUACCCAAACAAACUAGGGUUUCCAAGGCAAAUCAACUUCAAACUCUUGAAGAAAACUUGAUCAAAGUAACAUAAAAAGAUCAUGGGGACUCAUAUAUGAUGCUUAGAGACAUUUUGGAUCAUUCCUUGGUUGUGUUCUUAGCCAUGAGGGUCUUAAACCCUAUAUAUGAACUUGAUAGAUCAAUGGGGAUCAUGCCCUACCUACAACAGAGUUAGACAAAUGCAAAGACAUAUUUUUGGUAUUUUUGUUAGUAAAAUGAUAAUAUACAAGUAUGAUACAAUCAUAUGGUGCUUGGUGAUCUCUCCCCAAAUAAACCCAAUUAAAUAGGGGUAAGGAAGAUGCCAAGGUAUGCUCCCAAUGCUAAUGCAUAUGAUGAGAUUGCAUGAGGGAUCUUAGGGUCAAAAUUUGGGGUCUUACAGCUGCCCCUAUUUAAGGACAUUCUAACUGAGGAGGUGAAGGUUAAAAUAUUUGUAUCGACUCAGUAGAAUGGGUUUAAAUAACAACAUAUAGAAACAAACUUUGGUCCCUGAUAACGCGAAAACACAUCAGAUAUUUGCCUUGAUUUACACUCAAAGAUCACACCAUUUUUAUUAAUAUCCCAAUUAUUGCGCAAGUAUUCGUGUUGUUUUUGCAGGUAUUUAAAUCUCCAUGCAUUAAUGAGCAAAAUGAAGAAAAGGAAGAAAAAGAAGAAGAAACAGAUGAGAAGCACAGCAAAAAGCAAAAAACAGAAUAUGCAGAAUUUGUUGAUGACCCUCACAAAUUCAUGACGCUCGUCACGACCCAGACUGUGACGACCGUCACAAGCCCAUGACAAGCGUCACGCGGCCACAAUAUGCGCUUUGAAACAGUCAAUCACAGGCACCCAAACGUGCCUAAAUUCCCUCCAACAAACUUACUCCCACGGAUUCCUCAUUCAAGCCAAGUCUUCCUUGAAUAUCUCAACCACCAAGACCUAAAGGAACACUAUAUAAAGGACCAAAAUGGGAAAAAUUGGGAACGCCUACAUUUACACUUACGCUCUGCAAUUUAGUUUUAUAACUUUCUAGCCUUUAGUAUUUUCUUUUCAGCAACCUUGUUUCCGUUGCCUUAGGUUAUUCGCCAUUCUUUUUAGAAUUCUGUUUUUCCCUUUUCCCUUCCGUUUUCCAGUUAGCCAUAGUAGUAGUUUCCUACACUUGGGAACUACUACACUUUAUUUAAUUUUUGUAAGCAAUUUGUAUUGAAGAAGCAGAAGCCUACCGACUUGUGGAGGACUGCUCAAGUACUCCAAGAAUCGCUAUACUCUGUUACUUCGAUCUCCAGGUAGCAGAAGCCUACCGACUUGUGGAGGACUGCUCAAGUACUCCAAGAAUCGCUAUACUCUGUUACUUCGAUCUCCAGGUUUUUAUUGAAUUAUUAUUAUUAUUGCCCAAUUAUUAUUAUAAUUAUGUUUGUCGCAGUGUUGAUCUGUUUAAGCUCUGUGUUUGCUUUAUUUAACAUGUCCGGCUAAAUUACCGGUGUCGGUAUGUAGCAAUUUAAUUUGAUGGGAUUUAAUAAUAAUCGGUGAAAACCGUUUUUCUCAAAACAAUCUUUUAGGCUGAAGUUUUUAAUUUAAAUUUUAUUAACUUUAUCACAAAAGCGUGAAAAUCUAUUUAAUACGGUUUUGCCACGAGAGUGGGAAAUUAACUAAGGUGAGAACCAACAAUCGCGAGAGCGUGAGGCUCGAGCUGGAUAGUAAAAAUUAGGCAUUGAGUUUAAAAACAUCGAGAGCACUUUAAAAGCAAUUAGAACUUGUUUAUUUUCAAAAAGUAGUUUUAACUUUAAAUGGGACAGCGAGAGCGUACAUUCUGACUUAAAGCUAUAGGCCGAAUCAACAACCACGAGAGUGUGAGAUAAAGCUUUUUAAAUAAAUAUUUUCUACUGAGAGAUAUCUGGCAUUUAAACUAUUCACCGGUGACUUAUCGAAUCCCUGACAAUUAAUGUGCUGCAUACUGAUUCCUUCCAUAAAUUCCUUCUUAAAACUACAUUUCCCUUAGAUUUACUAUUUUGCCCCCGAACUUCUAUUAAUCAUUCCCUUAGCUAAACAUAGUGUCGUUAGUAACACUAGUUUGACCAUAGGUCCAUGUGGGAUCGAUAUCUUUUAAAACUAAAGCGACUGGACUGUACACUUGCAGUCAAGUACCCGACAGACUAUAUUUUAUAUAUAGCCAGACAGGCAUCAAGUUUUUGGCGCCGUUGCCGGGGACCUGUUUUAGUCGAAUAGUGUGAUUCUUUCGUUGCACGGUAUAAACUAAGGUAAAAAUAAAAACUAAUCUUAUCUCCCUUCUUUCCCUGAUUGUAUGCCAAGUACUCGCUCACAAGGCGAUAACUUAGCACCUCCAGUUCCGGAAUUAGAGCGUUUCUUAUACGCGAGACGCUGAAUACACGAAUAUCAACAAAAGUACGAUAUUCCCGAUAUCUUCUCUCCUCCUAAACCAGAAGAAAAACCAAACAUGGCUGAAGAAGGACCACAGAAUCGUCCUCUUAAAUUCUAUGCUACCCCAUCCCAACAAGAACCUCACAAUAGUAUUGAUGCCCCCGCUAUAAAUCAAAACGAUUUCGAGUUGAAACCCUCACUAUUAUCAGCCGUCCAACAACAUCAGUUUGCUGGAAAUCCUACGGACGAUCCUAAUGAACACCUGACCAAGUUUGUGCAGUACGCAGAUACUGUAAAGGCGAAUGGUGUAUCUCAAGAUGCGAUAAGACUGCGCCUCUUUCCUUUUUAAUUAAGGGACAAAGCUUGGGCUUGGUUGCAAUCCUUGCCCUCCAACUCCGUUACAACAUGGGAAGAACUAAAGAACGUUUUCUUAUCCCAAUAUUUUCCGCCGAGCAAAACUGCUAUGCUGAGAGCUCAGAUCAACGGAUUCAGGCAAAAAGAUGUGGAAUCUCUCUACGAAGCGUGGAAGAGAUACAAGGACAUGAUGAGGAUAUGUCCAUAUCACGGUCUCGAAGACUGGGUGAUCAUUCACACAUUUUACAAUGGGCUUCUGUAUAACACAAGACUUACAGUAGACGCUGCCGCGGGCGGUGCACUUAUGGAUAAGCCAUACAACAAAGCCUAUCAACUCAUUGAAAACAUGGCCCAAAACCAUUGCCAAUGGGGAGGUGAACGAACUCCAGUGGAAAAGUCCCAGACAAAGGGUGGAAUGUACGAAAUCAGUAGCCUUGACCAUGUUCAUGCAAAGGUAGAUGCCCUUGUUCAAAAAUUAGAUAACUUGACCAUACCACCCGCUGCCACCGUGGCCGCUGUAACUCCAAACUGUGAGUUAUGUGGAAACCCUGGACACACUGCACAACAAUGUCAAAUAUUAGCAGGAGUCCCAACCGAUCAAGUGAAUUACACACAAGGAAAUCCCUAUUCGAAUACCUACAACCCAGGUUGGAAAAACCAUCCUAAUUUCUCGUAUAAGAAUAACAAUGCCCUAAAUUACACACAAGGAAAUCCCUAUUCGAAUACCUACAACCCAGGUUGGAAAAACCAUCCUAAUUUCUCGUAUAAGAAUAACAAUGCCCUUUAUGCACCUGGCCAAGCACCAGCUGUUCCGCCUGGAUAUCAAAAGCCAACUAAUAAUGCUCCUAACAUGCCUAGGAAGUCAAAUCUCAAAUUAAUGAUGGAAAGCUUCAUAGCUACCCAAGCUCAGACAAAUAAAGACUUCUUGAACCAAAACAUACAUACUAGUGAGCAACUUAAACAACUAGCGAGCAAAGUAGAUGCCUUAGCCACCCACAAUAAAAUGCUUGAAAUACAGAUUUCACAAGUGGCUCAACAUCAAGCAUCUACAGCUACUCCAGCUGGAACAUUUUCUGGACAGCCGCAACCUAAUCCAAAAGGACAUGCAAAUGCCUUUAUACUGAGGAGUGGAAAAGAAGUAGACGGACCCGUAGAUCCAAGACUCCAAAACCCUGCCAUGUACCAAAAACAAGAUAAAACCUCAACUGAGCAUGUGACUGAACCAAAGGAAAUAGAAGAUAAUACCCAAGAGGCCGAAGAGACAGAUAAACCUUAUGUGCCUCAACCUCCUUAUAAACCACCCAUUCCGUAUCCUCAAAGACUCAAAAGUUCUAAAACUGCGAGUCAAUUUAGGAAAUUUGUUGAACUUCUGAAGCAACUAAACAUUACGAUACCCUUUACAGAAGCCAUCACACCCAUUCCGUAUCCUCAAAGACUCAAAAGUUCUAAAACUGCGAGUCAAUUUAGGAAAUUUGUUGAACUUCUGAAGCAACUAAACAUUACGAUACCCUUUACAGAAGCCAUCACACAAAUGCCCUCAUAUGCCAAAUUUCUUAAGGAAAUCCUAUCCAAUAAGAAAAAUAUUGAGGAUGACGAAACAGUUACACUUACUGCCGAGUGUAGCGCCAUAAUCCAGAAUAACAUGCCUCCCAAACUAAAGGACCCAGGUAAUUUCUCCAUACCCUGUGUCAUUGGAAAAUUUGUCAUAGACAAAGCUCUAUACGAUCUAGGAGCCAACAUUAGUGUAAUGCCCUUAACCAUUUGUAGAAGGCUCGGUAUGGGAGAAUUAAGACCGACGAAGAUGUAUGUUCAAUUAGCUGACCGCUCAAUCAAAUAUCCUAUCGGUAUACUAGAGAAUGUCCCAGUACGUGUAGGACAAUUUUACAUUCCUACAGACUUUAUAAUCAUGGACAUCAAAGAAGAUGCCAGUACACCUAUCAUACUAGGAAGGCCAUUCUUGGCUACUGCCGGAGCCAUAAUAGACGUAAAGAGAGGUAAGCUGACAUUCGAAGUUGGAGAGGAAAAUGUUGAAUUCAUCUUGACCCAAUUCUUACAAGCGCCAGCUAUAGACGACACAUGCUAUCUGCUUGAUGUCAUAGACGAGUGCGUGAGAGAGAUGGAGAUGCAAGAAACCACAUAUUCUAACAUAAUGAAAAUCCAAAUCCCUCCAAUCAUUGAAGACAAUAAUUGGCAUGAACCAUACCAAAACGAAAGUCUAAGCAUAUGCUUAGCACUUACACCCAACCACAUGCCAUGCCCAAAGAAACCUGACUUGGAAUUAAAAGCACUACCAAAAAACCUAAGAUACGAAUUCCUAGACGCUGAACUGAAAAGACCAGUAAUAGUCAACGCUGACUUAGGACAGAUGGAAACUGAGAAAUUACUAGAUGUUCUAAGAAAAUACCCAACAUCGUUAGGAUAUAAUAUCGCCGAUCUAAAAGGAAUAAGUCCUUCUAUCUGUAUGCAUCACAUUACGCUGGUGGAAGAUUGUAAAACCUCUAGAGAACACCAGAGAAGGAUUAACCCAAUCCUAAGUACCAUAGUCAAGGAUGAAGUAAAGAAACUGCUAGAUGCUGGAAUCAUAUACCCGAUCUCCGAUAGUCAAUGGGUUAGCCCCGUUCAUGUAGUACCCAAGAAAGGGGGUGUUACAGUUGUAAAGAACGAGAAGGGCGAAUUCAUAUCACAAAGAGUUGUGACUGGAAGUAGAAUGUGCAUUCACUAUAGAAAACUAAACAAAGCCACUCGGAAAGAUCAUUUCCCUCUACCCUUCGUUGACCAAAUGCUUGAACGAUUGGCUAAGCAUUCUCACUUCUGCUAUCUAGACGGUUAUUCAGGAUUCUUUCAAAUCCCAAUCCAUCCUGACGACCAAGAAAAGACUACCUUCACAUGUCCUUAUGGUACAUUCGCCUACCGACGAAUGCCAUUUGGCUUAUGUAAAGCUCCCGCAACAUUUCAAAGAUGCAUGAUGGCCAUCUUCGCCGAUUUUAUAGACGACAUCAUGGAAGUCUUCAUGGACGAUUUUUCUGUUUGUGGGCAGAGUUUUGAAGGAUGUCUAUCUAACCUCGAAAUGGUACUCGAAAGAUACGUGAAAGUAAACCUUGUUUUAAGCUAGGAGAAAUGCCAUUUCAUGGUUCAACAAGGAAUUGUGUUAGGUCACGUGGUAUCUGACAGAGGAAUUGAAGUAGACAAAGCUAAAAUCGAAAUCAUAGAGAACCUUCAACCUCCGAAAACCGUACGAGAAAUAAGAAGCUUUCUAGGACACGCUGGUUUUUACCGACGUUUUAUCAAAGAUUUCUCGAAAAUUACCAAGCCACUUACAGGAUUAUUAAUGAAAGACGCUGAUUUCAUAUUUGAUGAAAAAUGCUUAACAACGUUCAACCAACUGAAAACAUCUUUAAUCACUGCACCCAUAAUGAAACCACCUGACUGGAGAUUACCUUUUGAAAUCAUGUGCGAUGCGAGUGAUUACGCAGUAGGCGCAUUACUAGGACAAAGGAAGGAUAAGAAGCUUCAUGCUAUUUACUAUGCAAGUAGAACAUUAGAUCCAACCUAAAUGAACUACGCCACCACUGAAAAAGAACUUCUAGCCGUCGUGUUCGCUUUGGACAAAUUCCGUUCCUACCUGGUAGGGGCAAAAAUUAUCAUUUAUACCGACCACGCCGCUAUUAGAUAUCUAUUAAGUAAGAAGGAUACCAAACCAAGACUUUUAAGAUGGAUCCUGCUCUUACAAGAAUUUGAUUUAGAAAUAAAAGAUAAGAAAGGUACUGAAAACGUAGUAGCAGACCACUUAUCACGUAUAAAAGGGAAUAAACCUGAACAAAUCCCAAUUAACGAUGAUUUCACUUACGAACGACUCAUAGCCCAAAUGGAAAGUGAUAUGUCUGAACUAACAUUAAACGAUACAGAAAUAGAAGAAUCCGUGGAAGAAAUACAUGCGAAUGCAACUCUGCCAUGGUAUGCUGAUUUUUGUCACUACCUAGCCGUCAGAGUACUUCCACCGGACUUAUCUUACCAACAGAAGAAGAAAUUCUUCCAUGCCCUAAAACAGUAUUACUGGGAUGAACCUCUACUUUUCAAAGAGGUACCGACGGUAUCUUCCGUCGAUGUGUUCCGGAGGACGAAAUAGAUGAUAUAAUCUCUCAUUGCCAUUCCGCUCCCUAUGGAGGGCAUGCAAGUACCUCAAAGACCUGCACUAAGAUCCUGCAAUUAGGCCUCUUUUGGCCCACUCUAUGGAAAGACGUCCAUAACGCGGUGAUAAAAUGCGAUCGGUGCCAACGCACUGGCAACAUCUCAAGACGCGAUGAAAUGCCACAAACGGGAAUCUUAGAAGUAGAAGUCUUCGAUGUAUGGGGGAUUGACUUCAUGGGACCAUUCCCAGCUUCUUUUGGUAAUAAAUACAUACUCGUUACUGUCGACUAUGUUUCAAAAUGGAUCGAGGCUGUAGUCUCUUCGACAAAUGACACACGAGUAGUGAUCAAGUUUGUCAAAAACAUUAUCUUUCCCAAAUUCGGCGUGCCAAAACUAGUUGUUAGUGACGGUGGCUCCCACUUCAUACCGAAUAUCUUCGGAAAACUUCUUCUGAAGUAUGGAGUUUGACACCGUGUAGCAACACCGUAUCAUCCACAAACUAGCGGGCAAGUCGAAGUCUCGAAUCGAAAAAUUAAACAAAUUCUUGAGAAGACCGUAGGAAUAUCCAGAAAAGACUGGUUAUCCAAACUAAACGAAGCUUUGUGGGCCUACAGGACGGCAUACAAAACCCCGAUAGGAACCACACCCUUCAAACUAGUUUAUGGUAAAUCAUGCCACCUCCCUGUGGAAUUAGAACACAAGGCAUAUUGGGCAAUUAAAACCCUAAAUAUAAACUAUACUUCCGCAGGAGAGAAACGGAUUCUGGACAUUCACGAAUUAGAAGAGCUUAGAUUGGACGCUUACGAGAACGCUAGGAUCUACAAAGAGCGAACCAAAAGAUGACAUGACAAAUGCAUUUCUAGGAAGGAGUUUAAAGUCGGCGACAUAGUGCUACUAUUCAAUUCAAGACUUAAACUUUUUCCAGGAAAACUCAAAUCUCGGUGGUCCGGCCCUUUCGAGAUCACCAAAGUCCUAAAUAGUGGUGCGAUAGAAAUAAAAGGUAGGAAUAAUGACCCUUUUAUAGAUAAACUUUUUCCAGGAAAACUCAAAUCUCGGUGGUCCGGCCCUUUCGAGAUCACCAAAGUCCUAAAUAGUGGUGCGAUAGAAAUAAAAGGUAGGAAUAAUGACCCUUUUAUAGUAAACGGGCAGCGAUUAAAGCAUUAUCAUAAUAUCGAAAAUAGAGACUAUUCGAACAGUCUCAGACUCAUAGAGCUGCCCGCUCAACCCAACACCUAGUACACCGCGACACUACUGUUGAAGUUACGACAUUAAACAAAGUGCUUAGUGGGAGACAAUCCACCUUUUUUGUUAUCUUUGUUAUAAACUAUCUUCCUUCUUUGCUUUUCUUUAUUUUGUUUGCUCCCCUCUUAUUAAUUCUUUGCAGUCAUUCUUGUUGCUACUAGUAACUAACUUAGACAUAUUGGAUACUGACAAACAGGAAAAUUACUAACUAGUUAGUUAAUUACUUUCAUCAUGCAACAAAUAGAGACAGUUUUCAAAGGCAGAGUUCAACGAAGGCGGUAUGAUUAUCUAGCCCGGAAGGAUAUGGCAUUGACCAUAUAUUACGAUGGACCGACCAUGGAUAAAUUAGGCAUCCGAGAUAGCAUCCUAUUUAUGUUUAACCAACUUGGGUGGGAGAAUGCAGCCAUUAAGAGACGGUUUGUCAUGUAACGUGAACUAACCUUAGAAUUCCUUAGCUCCCUUGUAUACAACCCCGAACAUGGUUAUAGGGAUAACAAAGGGUUGAUAUCCUUUAGGUUGUUUAGCAUGGAUUUCACCUAUAGCCGUCGAGACCUUGCUGACCUCCUAGGAUUCCCUAGUGGCCCUUUCGUCUUUACUACCCGCCAAGAGGACCUAAUCGAUGACAUCGACCUAGAUGACUUUUGGGGUAGCAUAACUGGAGAAUCCAACCCUAACUCGAAUGAGAUGCACUUACAAAAGAUCCAUAACCCUGCUAUCCGAUACUUUCAUUAAAUACUAGCCCACACCUUAUUUGGUAAGGAAGAAAAUAACACCUUAGUGUCUCGCGAUGAACUUUUCAUCUUGCUAUGUGUCAAUCAAGGUCGACAUGUCAAUAUCGUGACAUUCAUGAUGGAAAGAUUUGUGCACCUUGCUAAGAACAACCUUACCCCAAUAAUAAUAGGUGGCCUAGUAACCAUGAUAGCAGACGCCAUAGGUCUUGUGCGCCCACUUUAUGAGCUUGUACCAUUUAGAAACAUCCGACCCAUGGAUAUCGAGUUUUGCUUUAACCGCAGAAUCAUAGGAAACAUUGGAACGGAUACCUUUGAUUAUCUAAUCAGUAACGAAGUGGUUCGACUAUUUACCUUGCCUAACCAUACGAAAACGAGUGUUCACAACCGCAAUACUGGCUCUAUGACUUAGAGGAACACCUUAUUGAUCCACCUUCACCUCCCGCGACUCCGCCUAAAUAUGAGUGUAUCAAUGAACCUAUCCAUAUGGAAGUAUCUGACCCUGAAACACCUCUCAACUAUUAUAACAUUGAUGAAACGGUCCCUCCAUCAUACGCUGAUAAUCAUGCCAUGCGCAUCACCCGUCUGAAUGGUUUUCAAGCUGACAUCACAAUUGUGAAAGAAGAGAUAAAGCUCAUACGCUUUGAUGUCCUAGGCAUGAUGGAUAUAGCUGUUGAGCAGUUUCAUCAUCUGAACGAAGAUGUAGCUGCAUUGGGACAAAAUCGUGGCUAAUACUACUGACCACUGAUUUCUCCUACUCGCAUUAAGCAAUGAGGACACUGCUUUGUUUUGUGUGGGGAGGGAGCACAUUUAUUUCAUUACUUUUGUUUAAUUACUUUAUUACUUUUGUUUGCUAUGUUAUUGUUACUAUUAUUUUUCUAUGUUACAUUUAAUUUUAAUUUAUCAAUUCAAUUGCUAUUCAUUUAUUUCUGCUUAUUUAUUUAUUUAUUAUUUAUUUUUUGCAUCUCUGCUUUUUAAUUAAAUUGCUAAAGUUAUCAUAAUGUUGUUAUCAUAUGCUGCUACAACCUGUGUUAAAAAUUGUAAAUCAGAGUGUGACGAUCGUCACAUAUAGGGUGACGCCCGUCUCACAGACGUGACGACCGUCACGCAUCUGCCACGAUCGUCACACAACAUGCAAAUGACCGUUACGAGCAUCUGACAGUUACAGACGACUGUUACGCAUCCGUUGCGCGUGACGACCGUCACGAAUUCCAGAGAGCUCGCCUAUAAAUGCAGGCGCUUUUUCUUUCUUCUUCCUCAUCAAUUACCACUCUCAUUACCAUUCAGCUCUUCAUCUAUUAAAUUCUUUACAUUUUCUUCAAGCGUAUAACUCACAAAUAUUCCAUCCCACCCAACAAUACCAAAAGUUCCAUACACCUCACAAAUGGCCCGUCAAGAAAAAGCUACUCCCAACCUAUCAAUCGUCGUAUUCCGAAAUGGAGAAGCCAACAAACUCCAAAGAAGCAACUACCUCAAGUUCUACCAACGCUCCGUUCAAGCUACGAGGUAUGUUGAUCAUGAAUGCCUGACGGAGUUAGGACUUUUGGAAGGCGUGGAGUGGGUGCUACCUAACUCCAGCUUGACGCAACUCUGUACCACGCCGCAGCCAACCUACGAAGCGCUGACCCUGGAAUUUAUGAGUUCCUACUCCUACAUCACACCCCCUGGCGCUACCCAAUAUCUCACCAGUGUCGCCAUAUUUAGAAUGUUCGGCACCGAGUAUUCCCUAAAUCAAACCCAGAUAGCGAGAAUGCUUGGUUUCCGACACGGAGAAGGAAUCCACUGCUGCAUCCCAGAAGGAUGGUCAGAGAUAGCAUUCCCAGUUUGGCACAACCUCACUAACAUGAACGCUACGAGCUGGGAUACGCUUAACGCAACAUAUAUCCACAACCCAGCCAUUAGAUACUUUCACCGAGUCCUAGGGCACACAGUCUUUGGAAGAGUCAACAACCAUAAGGUAAACUCUAAGGAACUUUUCCUUCUUCACUGUGUGUUUGCCCAAAUUGCGUUCAAUGUUACUCAUUUUCUACUAGCCAACAUCCAGGCUGCUUGCAUGAGAGGCAGCCAGGCGUUUUGUUGUGGGGGAAUCAUCACCUCCAUAGCAUUAGGCUUGAACCUGGGAGAUAGGCUAGCCAACUUACCAGCCCUAUAAGCAUUCCUCGACAUCGACUACUGCCGUGCUUCACACCUAUCAAAGCAAGAGAUGACGGGAAGUAUCAUCCUGUUGUCAGAAAUAAAGUAGUUAGAAGCAUCAUCAUGCCCCACAGGAACCGUACAGACCCGAGAGAAAUGAAUAGUUGGAUUUUUGAUCUGGAUGCCCCCGAACCAAAUGAUGGAAAUCCUGGUAAUGGUGCAGAUGAAGUCGAGGAGGAGCUUGACAGAGGCAUGCCUCAACCACCUCAAGAGCACGCUGCAGAGACUUCUUCCCGAGGACAGCGGAGAAGCGAACGAAGACCCGCCUCCAUGGAAAGCAUAUACGCCAAGAUGUUACGACACAACCAAACAAUGGAAGACUGCCAAACGGAAAUGAUGCAAGCGGUCCAGCAAAUGCAGCGGGAUCAACACGAUUAUGCUAACUGGCAUGAUCAGGGGAUGGCGGAACUUUCAGACUAGAUGAGUGCCCUGACUUACCGCGUAGAUGCCAUCCAGGAGUAUGCUCAGCAUGUAGGAUUGGAUCCUACCCAACGAGGAAGACGUGAGCGCGCAAGAGCAAGAGCCAGAGCACGCAAAAGCCAACAGCGUAACGACGAGCAGUGAAUUUUUGUUUCUUUCCUUUUUAUUUCUGUAUACUGUCGCAUUGAGGAUAAUGCAUUGUUUAGAUAUGGGAGGAAAUCCUUAUCACUCCUCUACUUGUUUCUAUUGCUAAUAUUUUCAGUCAAUACAAUUUUUUUUGCUUGUCCUUAUCAAUCAUUUUUCCAUAUUUUGGCAUAACAAUUUUUUUUCCUUAAGAUUAAAUGCAUACCCUACGAGUACAUAGGUUGUCUUGCGGAGGAUUUGUUAGGAAAACUGAGAAAGAUUUAACAAGAUUGAUACCGUCCCGACAUCCUAGAUCCCUCACUUCUACGAGAUCAGUUUGAAUAACCAUUAUACCGACACCUUAAGUCUCCAUUCUAGACUAACCCCUAGUAGUUAUACUAGCAGUCAACACCGUCUCAAGCGUAAACCACGUGGAGAGCCGAUGCAUAUAAGUGUUUGAUGCCUAUAAAUUAAGAAAUUCCUUCAUAUUGUUGCUAUCAAGAAAUUGAUAAACGAACCAUACAAAAGGUUGCAAAGAUAUACAAAAAGAAGGAACAGAAACCCCAGUUGGUUGGUCCAGAGGUACUUGGUACUGGACUCAAUAGGCCGAACUACGGUUCGAUCCCCCACAACCUUCAAAAAGGGGACAUAAAAAGGGGUACCACACUAGUUACCAGACCCCCGUGCUAAGAAAAGGAUCAAAGUCACUAACCGGCUACUUCAUUAAUUGCGUGCGGAGGCAAAAGGCUUAAUGUGAUUGCGCUAGAAUGAAACCGGGUGAAAUAGAAACAGAGACACUAGGUUGAGCUAUAAUAGCAUGAUUCGAACCGACUUGUGCAAAGGAGAGAUCUACGCUAAAGCUGAAAGCUCGUGUCGUCACAGUAUCCUUGGUGUUUUACUCGAAUAUCGGCCAUCUUAACAAUCCACCUGACAACCACGUACGAAUGGGUAAUGUAUUCGUGCUUAACUUUGUUUUCAAAUUGUAUUUGCUUGAGGACAAGCAAAGAUUCAAGUUUAGGGGAGUUUGAUAACGCGAAAACACAUCAGAUAUUUGCCUUGAUUUACACUCAAAGAUCACACCAUUUUUAUUAAUAUCCCAAUUAUUGCGCAAGUAUUCGUGUUGUUUUUGCAGGUAUUUAAAUCUCCAUGCAUUAAUGAGCAAAAUAAAGAAAAGGAAGAAAAAGAAGAAGAAAUAGAUGAGAAAGCACAACAAAAAGCAGAAAACAGAAUAUGCAGAAUUUGUUGAUGUGACGACCGUCACAGAUUCAUGACGCUCGUCACGACCCAUACUGUGACAACCGUCACAAGCCCAUGAAGAGCGUUACGCGGCCAUAAUAUGCGCUUUGAAACAGUCAAUCACAGGCACCAAAACAUGCCUAAAUUCCCUCCAACAAACUUGCUCCCACGGAUUCCUCAUUCAAACCAAGUCUUCCUUGAAUAUCUCAACCACCAAGACCUAAAGGAGCACUAUAUAAAGGACAAAAAUGGGAAAAGUUGGGAACGCCUACAUUUACACUUACGCUCUGCAAUUUAGUUUUACAACUUUCUAGCCUUUAGUAUUUUCUUUUCAGCAACCUUGUUUUCGUUGCCUUAGGUUAUUCGCCAUUCUUUUUAGAAAUCCAUUUUUCCCUUUUCCCUUCCGUUUUCCAGUUAGCCAUAGUAGUAGUUUCCUACACUGGGGAACUACUACACUUUAUUUAAUUUUUGUAAGCAAUUUGUAUUGAAGAAGCAGAAGCCUACCGACUUGUGGAGGACUGCUCAAGUACUCCAAGAAUCGCUAUACUCUGUUACUUCGAUCUCCAGGUAGCAGAAGCCUACCGACUUGUGGAGGACUGCUCAAGUACUCCAAGAAUCGCUAUACUCUGUUACUUCGAUCUCCAGGUUUUUAUUGAAUUAUUAUUAUUAUUGCCCAAUUAUUAUUAUAAUUAUGUUUACCGCAAUGUUAAGCUGUUUAAGCUCUGUGUUUGCUUUAUUUAACAUGUCCGGCUAAAUUACCGGUGUCGGUAUGUAGCAAUUUAAUUUGACGGGAUUUAAUAAUAAUCGGUGAAAAUCCUUUUUCUCAAAACAAUCUUUUAGGCUGAAGUUUUUAAUUUAAAUUUAAUUAACUUUAUCACAAAAGCGUGAAAAGCUAUUUAAUACGGUUUUGCCACGAGAGUGGGAAAUUAACUAAGGUGAGAACCAAUAAUCGCGAGAGCGUGAGGCUCGAGCUGGAUAGUAAAAAUUAGGCAUUGAGUUUAAAAACAGCGAGAGCACUUUAAAAGCAAUUAGAACUUGUUUAUUUUCAAAAAGUAAUUUUAACUUCAAAUGGGACAGCGAGAGCGUACAUUCUGACUUAAAGCUAUAGGCCGAAUCAACAACCAUGAGAGUGUGAGAUAAAACUUUUUAAAUAAAUAUUUUCUACUGAGAGAUAUCUGGCAUUUAAGCUAUUCACCGGUGACUUAUCGAAUCCCUGACAAUUAAUGUGCUGCAUACUGAUUCCUUCCAUAAAUUCCUUCUUAAAACUACAUUUCCCUUAGAUUUACUAUUUUGCCCCCGAACUUCUAUUAAUCAUUCCCUUAGCUAAACAUAGUGACGUUAGUAACACUAGUUUGACCAUAGGUCCCUGUGGGAUCAAUAUCUUUUAAAACUAAAGCGACUGGACUGUGCGCUUGCAGUUAAGUACCCGACAGACUAUAUUUUAUAUAUAGCCAGACAAGCAUCAGUCCCUAAGAGACCUCAUGAUGCAUAUGACAUGAAUGUAAAAACAAUUUCUUUUUGGGGAAAGGUUGCCACAAAGGAAAAGAAAUCAGAGAGACCGAAGGUCCGCAGGAGCAUAAUGCAUUCCGUGAGGAAAACUAAUUGGGGAGACAGAGACUCUGACGGGGUAAAAGAGGUUAUGCGUAGGCCAGGGUACGACUUAAAACUGUUGGGAGACUAGAGGAAUUCCAUAGAAAUGGAAAGACUCAGCCGGGGAAACAAAAACAUCUGCAGGGGAAACAAGUAGAUCAAGAUAAAAGUGUCAUACUUGAAUCAUGCAGGAAAAGUGAAUUCACUAAGGAAAUACACACUCAACUCAAAUGGGGAAGAAAUAAACUUCAAUACAGGAGGAGCAGAAAUCUAUUAUCGGCUACCCGUUACUAGGUAAGGAGAUAAUAAAGAUCUGACAGAGAGGACACCCGUCAUCGGUUAGGAUGAACAUAUCAAGGAUGACUCACUAGGAACCGCCAGGAGGGAAUAUUCAUUACCGGUUACUGGGUAAGAAUAGUCUUGCUGGGGAGAAACUGCAGAAAUAGGAUUUACAACUACCAGUUACUGGGCAGAAGACCAAAAAUGAGAAUAUUUGUCACCCGUUAAAGUGAACAUAUCAAGGAUAAACUCAAAGAAAAGAAAAUCCGUCAUCGGUUAGGAUGAACAUAUCAAGGAUAAACUUGCCUGAGGGUGUCAAGAAGGAUACCCGUCAUCGGUUAAGAUGAACAUAUCAAGGAUAAACCACCUGAACAAAAAGUAGGAAUUACAUCUAUCGAAUGUUGGAUAGAAAACCAUCAAAGAGAAAAUCUGUCAUCGGUUAGGAUGAACAUAUCAAGGAUAAACUCUGUGAGGAAGAAAUAGGAAUUACAUCUAUCAGUUACUAGAUAUAAUACCACAAGAGAGAGUACCCAUCACCGGUUGAGAUGAAAAGGAUAAACUCUACAAAGGGGAAUGAAAAGCAAGAUUUGCAACUAUCGGUUACUGGGUAGAAGACCGCAAAGAGAAGGAAACCCGUCAUCGGUUAGGAUGAACAUAUCAAGGAUUAACUCUCUGGGGAAUCAUAAAAAAUGAAUCGACUAGGGACUCCACUGCGGAGAAAUCAGGGGUACUUUUUCCGGGUAUUGGGCAAGAAGUAGAAAACUACAAACUAAGAAGAAUAUUACCAGUUACUGGGUAAUAAACUCUUAGGGGACCCAAAACAUCUAUCUAGGUAAGAUCUAGAAAGAAACGACCAAUCAAGACUCAACCCAAUGAGGAUAUAACUCAAGGGGAGUGAUUUCAUCCAGAUAAUCAACUGGAGAGGAAACUGAAAUAAUAAUUAUCCACGAGGAAAUAACUCGGUGGGGAGAGGAGAAAGGUUAAAGUCUUUCUGCUAAAGGGGCUGACACUCUACAAUGGAGGGAGGACAGACAUCAAACUUGUAUAGGGAUAAAGUACCGCCAUAACAGAGAAUAAGAAUCUCAUUAGUGAAUCAACAAAAAAAUGAUGAAAUAUAUGAGUAUAUAUGUACAUGUAUAUGUGUAUGUAUAUGUAUAUGUAUAUGUGAUGAUCAUGCUGAUAAAACGAUCGCAAAGGAUACAAAGGUGUUGCAAAUUUGAAUCAUCGAUAUAAUUCUCGAUCAAUCCACAAAAGAGGGAGACGACUUGCUAGAGAAAAGAGAGAUCACCAUCCCAAAGGCUCAAACCUAGCCGGGGAAAGAAGAGAUCUGCUGAGAAAAACCGUUCUCGAAUCUGCAGGGAAUUUUAGGUUCACACCAUAUCAAAUGGGAGACAACCAUGCAAAAGCUAAACACAAAUACCUGCUCAAAAACCAGGAGGAAACUCUGACUGGGAGUGAAUCUGAUGGCGAUUGGUGGGGAAACCAAAGUUCUACCGCAACCACGCGAACUGCUGAGUAAACCGGUUUUCAGCUGGGGAAUAAACACAAAUUAUGUUGAGGAAUAAACAUUCCACAGGGGACUGAAUCAACCAACCCUUCUGGCUACCCUACUGGGGAAUAGCGGACAACGAUUGGUGAAUGCUAAAAAUGGUGUUGAGGAUGAAAGAGAAAUUGCGCCUACUGCUCGGGGAGGACCAAUACUACUCCACACUUAAGGCUUACUGCUUUCGAACCACUGAUGAUAUUUAUUUUAAAUGAAAUCAAUUGCUUUAAGAUUCAUGCUUUUAUAUGUUUAAGAAAAAUAAUUUUAAUUAAAAAUUUUAAUUUCAAAAUGAUCAUAAUAAAAUUUAAAACUAUUUGCUGAAGUAAACAAGAGUAGAAACAAUUGGAUAAAAGUUCAACUUUAUUUAAUGGAAUGGUAGUUCGUAAAUGAUAAGACUCCAUAGAUUUUUACAAAGUUGAAAAUGGUAAUUUACAUGGAAAAGGGUUACAUUGAAUACAAUGAUCAUUAAUCCUUCCACUAACUCUUGAUGUCCACUGUGUUUUUUUUUGCCGCUAUUGGGGAUGAUGAAUCAUUGUCGACCGUUGUGCUCAACAAAGUCUUCAAAAAUCUGAAGAUCAGCAGGAUGCAGUUACUUGCCAUAAUCCCUAAUUUUUGCAUAAAUUGCCCCAAGAUGGGGUAUUCAAUUUAUCUGGAUAAUUUUUCUGUUUUAUGUCUCUAACUUUUGCCUGGAUCGCCCUUUCGGGUUUUCAAUCCACCGAGAAACUCAUUUUUGCCUAAGCCGCCCUUUCUGUAACACCCUUAUAAAAUACCCCAAUAAUUAAUUAAAACAACAAAAUGUAAAUCAGAGUAGAUAUGCAAUUUCAGGGUGUCACACUUUACACUUCACACCAUUCACCAAAAUAACUUGUCAUGCUCAUUUAUUAAUUAAAAUAAAACAUUGCAUAAUUCGCAGCGGAUAGAAAUCUAACAACAUGCAAACCAUGUAACACAUUACAUGUAAAGUUGUUCAAUCAACCAAAAUGAAAACAAAGUAAAACAUCCCGUCCCGAUGUACAUUAGACCAGAGCAUGACCACUAAGAACUAGCACUAGACUCCAAGCACUAGCUUCUACUCAAUCACUGCUCGUUACCUAACAUAGUUGUAAGGUGAGUUCCUCAAUCGAUAUAAUAACUUAUAAAAAUCACUAUAAUGCUAAGUAAAUUAACACAUUCAUCACCCUAAUCAGAUCACACAUUCAGCAACGGAAACAUCAACUCAAAUCAAACUCACACAAACACAAAACACCGUAUAAUAUUGGAUACAUCCAUUCAUAUUAUAUCGCCAUAACAUACAUUAUGCAAUGAGACUCCAUGGCAUCGUACCGACUAUCGUGAACACAUAGUUCAACCUCACCGAUCAAACCCCAGAUAUGGCUACCAAGCUCACUAGUCCCACUCAUUUGAGACCUAGUGACUCACUCACUAAUCCUCACCAUGGAAUUAGCCUACCACCAUAAAGGCUAUGCUAUGCACGCUAAAAUCACCUAGCUCAAACAUCAACAACAAUCCACAAUAACCACUCACUAAUUCCUCACAUGGGAAAUUAGCUACCACAUAAAGGCUACGCUCUGCACGCGUAAAUCCACUAGCAUGCAACCAUCCAACACAAUCCACAAUGACAUAUGCUCACACUCUAAGCCAUAAACAGUCCAUCAUACAUCAUACAUACAUCACACUCCAAUCCACAAUAGAUAAUCACAGCAUAUGCAUACCAUAAUACGUCAUCAGCAUAUUUAUCACAUAAUCAUCAAUGUCAUGUCAAAUAAUAAUCACCGUAUUAGCAACAUCUACUAAUACCUGUACUGUUCAAAACAACGGAAAAGAUCCUAUAUAUCAUACACCAAUAUAGCCAAUCGUCAAAUAUGUACACAAUAUUUGAAUAUCAAUUUCCACUUUCAAACAGUUACCGGUUACCGCCCUGGGUUAACCGUUAACGCAAACAGAACGCCUUCCUGCAAAACUCGCAAUCUCUUUUCAUUCCCGGCCACCAAAAUAACUUUUUCAAAUCAUGAUACAUCUUCGUAGCCCCCGGAAUGAAACUCAGGACACUACGAUGUCCUUCCUCAAGAAUAUCUCUUAAGUCGGUAACAUCCGAAUACACACCCGAUACCAAAUUCAAAACACCAUUCUCAUCAACCUCUAAUCACCACCUGCGACCUUGAUUCACUAGAGUCGACUUAUCAACCAAAAGCACAUCGGAUUUCUGACCCUCUCUAAUCUCAAUCCAGAAUACCACUCGUAACUUCAACAUUCCCAUUUAAAACACUAUUGUGAUGUACUCUCAACACACCAAACUCAAGUCUCUAAACUGCUCAAUAAAUCCAAUCCUUAACCAUAACAUAGACAUAUGCCAAUGAUUUCCGACUCAAUGCAUCCCGCACUACGUUUGCUUACCCGGAUGGUAACUCAAACCAAGUCAUAAUCCUUCAAAACUCUAACCAUCUCCUCUUCUCAUAUUACAGCUAUUUCUGAUCAAACAAAUACUUUAAACUUUUAUGGUCACUGAAAAUCUCAAAUCUUGACCCGUACAAGUAAUGCUCCAUAACUCAGAACAAAUACCACAGCUGCCAACUCUAAAUCGUGUGUCGGAUAGUUCCUCUCAUGAACUUCAGUUGUCUCGAAGCAAAAGCACACACCUGCUAUUCUGCAUCAAAACACCACCCAAACCACAAAUGAAGCAUCACAAUAAACCUCAAAUGGUUCCGACGGACUGGUAAUAUCUGAAUAGGAGCAGUAGUUAACUUUCUCUUAACUCUUGGAAACCUUCUUCACAUUUGAGUCCCAAAACAAACGCUUACCCCUUUCUAGUCAACAUCGUCAACGGUAACGCCAACUUAGAAAAUCCCUCAAUGAAUUCCUAUAAUAACCUGCAAGUCCAAUAAAACUCCUUAUCCCUCAGAAACUGACUUCGGAGCUUCCCACCACUCAGAUACGCUUGUCGAUCUUAGAAGAUCAACAGCACACAACCUCUGAAACCCACAUGACCAAGAAAACUAACGUCUUCUAAACAACAAUAUAUCACAACUUGGCAGUUUAGCAGAAAUAACUUCUUUUCUCGAAGAACUCCUAAAACCACUCUCAAAGUUCAGCAUGCUCUUCUGUCAGAAUUUCCGAAUACACCAAAAUUAUCGUCAUAGAAACACACCACAACAAACUGCUUAGGUACGAGAUGAAAAAUCUUAUUCAUAUUAUCCAUAAAUACCCCAGCGCCAUUUAGCACACCAAACAGGCAUUACAGAAUACUCAUAAUGUCCAUAACCUUUGUUCUGAAAAGCAUCUUCUGAAUAUCCUCAGUUUUCACACGUAUCUGAUGAUACUCCCCCGAUUCUCCAAAAUCUAUUUUGCUGGAAAAACGACCACUUCCGCACCCAAAAACCAAUACUGAUCCAUCAAAUCAUCAUCCUCUAGGCAAAGGAAUACUCGAUUCUUGAAUCGUCCACUUUAUUCAGUUGCCUGUAGUGCCACACACAACAUCUCAAUAGUAACUUCUUCUCUUAACCCAUAACCACUGUGCGCCCCACGGUGACCUCACUCGGGACGAUAAAUUUGCUAUCCAAGCAGAUCCAGCGGACCUCUUCAUUAGUUAAGCUCACAGCAGACAGUGGUAGCGGAGGCCAUCGGUAUCAGCCCUACGUAACCAGGACCAUAAUCAAAUCGAAGACUCAACUUCACGCUCUGGCGUAAUUCAUUCACUUCCUUCAGGAAACACACUAACAGGAAAAUUCACACACACGCGCUGAGAUCGCAAAUCACCAAGUUAUCUUAGCCUCCAAAUGUCGGCAACGACAUAACACAACUCGCGGGCCCAUCUAACUAUCUGCUCACCACCUCCUUGCUUGAUACGAAUCGAACACUCUUCCUUCCUCAAUCUCAGGAAAGAUCACAGUCUUUAUCAAGACUGAGCCUUUGACCUAUAUUAACUCGAGGUCAAACACCAACGAGUUCAUACCUCAAGAUAACAUCAAAUCUGGCACUGUGAACGAAGACACACGAUGCGUCCAUCCCAAAGUCUCUAGCCAAGAAAUACUCAGAUGUGGCUAAUUUAAAACAAAUCCGAUUAGUUAGUAGUUCCUGAACCCGCUCGCAUGGAGUAUCAAUCACAUCUCCGCAUGCAUCGCUCAUGAUAUCUCUACAGAAUUUUCACAGCACAAUCCAAAGAUUAACGGAUGAUCUCCCCUGAUUGUCACUGCUAAUAGCUACAAGAUGGAGCCUAUUAAUAUAAACACGUACCCUCGGAAUCAAACGAUGCAGGUCAUGCAGAUGUCUCAAAGAACCCGAGUAACAGCAAUUAGAACCUUGCCUCCCGACUGGUUCUCUUUCUUCGCUAGGACACUGUGGACUGAUAUGACCCACCUCUCCACAUGUUGAAACAAGUCAAUUCUUCAUAGACCCGUACCGCACUCUGCCCCAGCCACAGUGACCACCUUUCCACAGCUUGUAAACACUUCUUCUCAGUGUGGUACUCUGAUGGAUAGCGAGUGUCCAUUGCUUGACGCACAUCUAUAUACACCUUAGCAGAGCAUGGAGCUCUCUCCCCACUAUGGUCCUCUUCAUCCACUGUGUCUCUGGAAACCUUUGCCUAGCUGCAUAUCGGUUGCCCCACGAUCAUUCUGAUUCUUGCCUUUCUGAUCCCUACUGCUUUGUAGCUCUCCUUGCUCUCGGCCUUGGGUAUCCUGUUCAACAAGAUUCGGUGCAUACAGUCAACAAGUCUAGAAAAACACUUCUAAUCGCCGCUGUAGUACCCAAUGGCCUUGCUGUGAUCUCGCGGACGUAAAUCCCAGUUUCUCAAACUUCACACAUUUGAAAAUUCCUCAGUAGCCUCAAUCAUAGGGAGGUUAAUACUUCGACACAUCUUGUGAACUUAAGCAGCUAUACUCUGUACAUAACAGCACCGAUUGCCCGCCUGCUAUCGAAUUCUAGGAACUCUAUUUUCUUUCUUUCCUCUGACACUCCUCUUGGAAUAGUACUUCCUCAGGAAUCUCUCUCUGAUAACCGCAAGUGAUCUCAAGCACCCAGCAGCUUCCAAACUCAAUGCGAGCAUGCACCACAAUCACUGCUUCCCAGCCACUCCCGCUCCUCUGACAGCAUAUAGCGACCGAACCUGGCCUCUAUGCGUGGCGUUUUAUCGGCACACUCAGGUCCUCGAAAGAUCUCUGGAUUCUCCUUCAGCCAUUCUGAGCACCAUCUGGAUUCGUAUGCUCCCUUGACAUUGCGAGGAUUGUUCUCUGAACUCACUCAGUUGACGAGCAGGCUCCCAAUCCCACAACAUUCGGAUUCCUUCAAUAUGUACUCAUAGCUAGCAAUCCCGCAGUUCCUUAAUGCAAAGCCAAUAGACUCUAGAAUUCGGGCGACGCAGAUCGUCUCUUACCCUCUUCCAGCCUUCUCUAUUCUGAGUACGCCAACAACGCUUAAAACAAAUAAGUACGAUAGGACUAUGACAACAAACCACCUAGCAACAUACAAGGGAAACAGAAUAAUUUACGACUCGACUCAGGACCGACUAGCUCUGAUAACCACUAAUGUAACACCGCCUUCUAAAAUACCCCAAUAAUUAAUUAAAAAACAAAAUGAAAUCACAGUAGAUAUGCAAUUUCAGGGUGUCACACUUUACACUUCACACCAUUCACAAAAUAACUUGUCAUGCUCAUUUAUAAUAAAAUAAAACAUUGGCAUAAUUCGCAGCGAUGAAAUCUAACAACAUGGCAAACCAUGUAACACAUUACAUGUAAAGUUGUUCAUCAACAAAAUGAAAACAAAGUAAAACAUCCGCGUCCCGAUGUUACAUAGACCAGAGCAUGACCCAUAAGAGGAACUACACUAGACUCCAAGCACUAGCUUCUACUCAAUCACUGCUCGUUACCUGAAACAUAGUGUAAGGGUGAGUUCCUCAUCGAUAUAAUAAGCAUUAUAAAAUAUCAAUUAAUGCUAAGUAAAUUAACACAUUCAUCACCCUAAUCAGAUCACAGCAUUCAGCAACGGAAACAUCAACUCAAAUCAUACUCAACAACAAACACAAAACACAGCGUAUAUAUUGGAAUACAUCCAUUCAUAUUAUAUGCCAUACAUACAUUAUGCAAUGAGACUCCAUGGCAUGCGGUACCGACUAUUCGUGACACAUAGUUCAACCUCACCGAUCAAACCCAGAUACUGGCUACCAAGCUCACUAGUCCCACUCAUUGAGACCUAGUGACUCACUCACUAAUUCCUUCACGCAUGGGAAUUAGCUACCACCAUAAAGGCUAUGCUAUGCACGCUAAAUCACCUAGCAUGCAAACAUCAACAACAAUCCACAAAUAACUCACUCACUAAUUCCUCACGCAUGGGAAUUAGCUACCACCAUAAAGGCUACGCUAUGCACGCUAAAUCACCUAGCAUGCAACCAUCAACAACAAUCCACAAUGGACAUAUGCUCACACUCUAAGCCAUAAACAGUCCAUCAUACAUCAUACAUACAUCACACUCCAAUCCACAAUAGAUAUAUUCACAGCAUUAGCAUACCAUCAUACGCAAUCAGCAUAUUUAUCACAUAAUCAUAUCAUGUCAUGUCAAAUAAUAAAUCACCGUAUUAGCACACUCUACUAAUACCUGUACUGUUCAAAACAACGGGAAAGAUCCGCUACUAUAUCAAACACCAAUAUAGGUCAAUCGUCAAAUAUGUACACAUAUAUUGAAUAUCAAUUUUCCACUUUCAAACAGUGUUAACGUUAACGCCCUGGGUUAACCGGUUAACGCAAAACAGAACGACGCAUUCUCCUGGCAAAUUUUAACAGUGUUAACCGGUUAACGCCCUGGGUUAAACCGUUAACGCAAGACAGAAAUUAAUUAUUUUAAUUUCAUAACAGUGUUAACCGGUAAACACCCUGGGUUAACCGGUUAACGCAAGACAGAGAAGCUGUUCCUGCGCUAACACGAACGGAAUGCAGGAUUACCCGCAUUUUUCGCCAUGGAGGCCUUCCGGACUCCGAUUUCGAUUCCGUAAAAGCUACACGUCCAGAAAAUCACAAUCUCAAUCCAAAUAUAGGUCUAUUCACAGUUUUACCUUAAACUAUUCAUCCCAAUUCAAAGUAUUUCUCAAAACCUAAUUAGAGUCAAUCAAUGGCUUUAUUACUACCCAUCACAUGUUAAUCCAUAAUACCCAUUAAACGACGAUAACCCCCUUACCUGAGUUAAUCCGGCAAAUCCUUUAGCUUCAAGCUUUUCCCUCUUCAACCCUUGUUCUCUUGCUCUUCCUCUUUGCCCUUUUCCACUUUUGAAGUCGCUUCUCUGCUUUCACGUGAAAAACCUUUUUACCAAAUGGGACUCUUCUGGAUUCCAACUUUAUAUUCCAAUAAUAAUAAUCCAAUAAUAUUCCAAUUAUUUAAUUAAAUUAAUAAAUAUACUAUUAACUUAAAUUAAAUAAUUAUCAUAUUUUAUCGGGGUGUUACACUUUUGGCUUUUCAACUUAGUGAGAUGUUCUUUUCUUUUUAGGCGAAGUAUUUCUUGAUUGCAUCUACGUUCACAGGAUGAGUGAACUCUUCACCAUCCAUAGUUGUGAGAAUCAAAGCACCGCCUGAAAAGGAUCUCUUAACAACAUAUCGGCCUUCAUAAUUAGGAGUCCUUUUGCCCCUAGAGCCUGGUUUGAACGAUAAAAUAUUCUUGAGCACAAGGUCACCUUCUCUGAACACACGAGGUCUGACCUUCUCUUCUAUCAAAUUCAGUUGGUCAAACCUGGUCUGACACCAUUCAGCCUCAAUCAACUUGGCUUCCAUGAGCACACGCAAUGAAGGAAUCUCAACCUCUACGGGGAGCACUGCUUCCAUACCAUAUACAAGAGAGAAAUGGGUUGCCCCUGUUGAAGUGCGGAUGGAUGUUCGAUACCCGUGCAAAGCAAAUGGGAGCAUCUCAUGCCAAUACUUAUAUGUCACAACCAUCUUCUGGAUAAUCUUCUUAAUGUUCUUGUUUGCAGCUUCAAUAGCCCCAUUCAUCUUGGGUCUGUAGGGAGAAGAAUUAUGGUGCGUAAUCUUGAAGUCUUUACAAAGAGCUUCCACCAUAUUAUUAUUCAAGUUCGAUCCAUUAUCCGUAAUGAUCUUUCUUGGCACACCAUAACGGCAUAUAAUCUGAUUCUUGAUAAACCGCACAAUAACUUGCUUGGUUACGUUCGCGUACGAUGUCGUUUCAACCCAUUUUGUGAAGUAGUCAAUUGCCACCAAAAUGAAAUGAUGUUCGUUCGAAGCUUUAGGCUCGAUCAUGCUAAUCAUAUCAAUUCCUCACAUGGAGAAGGGUCAUGGGGAGGAAAUGACGUUUAAUAGUGUCGGAGGAACAUGGACCUUAUCCUCAUAUAUUUGACACUUGUGACAUUUCUUCACAAACCUGCAAUAGACAAAUUCCAUUGUCAGCCAAUAGUAACCUCAUCUUCUUCGCCAUAGCAUGUCCAUUGGAAUGGGUACCAAAGGAACCUUCAUGGACUUCAGUCAUCAACAAGUCUGCUUCGUGUCUAUCCACGCUUCUGAGCAGAACCAUAUCGAAGUUUCUUUUAUAAAGCACGUCACUAUUUAGGUAAAAAUUGCCAGCUAGUCUUCUCAAAGUCUUCUUAUCUUUCAAAGAUGCCCCAGAUGGGUAAAUCUGACUUUGGAGGAAACACUUGAUGUCAUAAUACCAAGGCUUCUCGUCUUUGAUCUCUUCAAUAGCAAACACAUGAGCUGGCCUAUUAAGAUGCAUGACAGUCAAAUUAGGAACCUCAUUCCAAUACUUCACUACAAUCAUUGACGCCAACGUUGCAAGAGCAUCUGCCAUCCGAUUUUCAUCUCGAGGGAUAUGAUGAAACUCAACCUUGGUAAAGAAAGUUGAAAUCAUCCUUGCAUAAUCUUUAUACGGUAUUAAACCAGGUUGAUUCGUCUCUCGUUCACCUUUGAUCUGAUUCACAACCAAAGCUGAAUCUCCAAAGACAUCUAAAUGCUUAAUCAGAGAUAAAUGGUCUCUUCGAGCCCCAUAACGCAAGCUUCAUAUUCUGCCAUAUUGUUUGACACUUGAAAGGCAAUCUAGCUGUAAAUGGAAAAUGAGUGCCUUGAGGAGUAAUAAUCACUGCCCCAAUGCCAUUACCAUAUUGAUUAACAGCUCCAUCAAAUACCAUGCCCCAACGGGAACCUGGUUCUGGCCCUUCUUCAAGCAAUGGUUCAUCACAAUCUUUCAUUUUCAAGUGCAAGAUUUCUUCAUCAGGAAAGUCAUACUGAACUGACUGGUAAUCUUUAAUCGGUUGGUGGGAUAAAUGGUCAGCCAAGACAUUACCUUUGAUUGCUUUCUGAGAUCGGUAUUCAAUAUCAUACUCUGAUAACAACAUCUACCAACGGGCAAUCCUCCCAGUUAAAGCAGGCUUCUCAAAUAUAUACUUUAUCAACCAAGUGCGGUAUGAUUCAACAGUAUAUUGGCGCAAACGCUUAGCAACCUAAGCCAAUGCGUAAAGGUUUCUCCGACAUAGACGGUGAACUUCUUACUGAGGUAGUAAAUUGCAAAUUCUUUCUUUCCAGUCUCAUCUUGCUGACCAAGAACACAACCCAUACUAUCUUCGAGCACAGUCAAAUACAUGAUCAAUGGUCUUCCUUCAAUGGGCGGAGACAAAAUCGGAGGCUCAAGCAAAUACUCUUUGAUACUAUCAAAAGCUUUAUGGCAGUCUUCGGUCCAAUCACAAGACUGAUCUUUCCAAAGAAGCUUCAAUAUAGGCGCACAUGUGGCAGUGAUGUGUAAAUGAAUCUUGAGAUAUAAUUCAAGCGGCUAAGAACACCUCUGACUUGCUUCUCAGUUUUGAGUGCAGACAUCUCUUGUAUUAAUUUGACCUUGGUUGGAUCAACUUCAAUACCCUUCUCACUGACGAUAAAUCCUAACAACUUACCAGAACGAACACCAAAAGUACACUUAUUGGGAUUCAAGCGGAGUUUAUACUUCCUCAAACGCUGGAAUAACUUCAACAAAUGCUCAACAUGUUCCUCUUCAUUAAUUGAUUUUACAAUCAUGUCAUCGACAUAAACUUCAAUCUAUUUAUGCCUCAUAUCAUGAAAAAGAGUAGUCAUUGCUCUUUGGUAAGUUGCACCAGCAUUCUUCAAACUGAAAGGCAUCACUCUAUAACAGAAUGUUCCCCAAGGUGUAAUGAAUGUGGUUUUCUCCAUAUCUUCGGGUUCCAUCUUGAUCUGGUUAUAUCCGGAAAAUACGUCCAUAAACGAAAAGACUUUGAAUUUAGUUGUAUUGUCUACCAACAUAUCAAUGUGUGGCAGAGGGAAAUCAUCUUUCGGACUGGUGUAAGGCCAUAAUUUUGACCCUAAGAUCCCUCAUGCAUUUUGUCAUAAGCAUUAGCAUUGGGAUCAUAUCUUGGCAUCCUCCUUACCCCUUUUCAUUGGGUUUGUUUUAGGAGAGAUCACCAAGAACUUUAUGAUUAUAUCAUACUUGUAUUUUAUCAUUUCACUAACCAAAAUAACAAAAAUAUGUCUUCGUAUUUGCCUAACUCUUUUGUAGGAAGGGCAUGAUCUCAUUGAUUCAUCAAAUUUACAUCUAGGGUUUGAGACCCUCAUGAACAAAGAGUACAACCAAGAAUUGAUUCAAGAAUGGUUAUGUACAUCAUAUAUGAGCCCCAAUGUUCUCCACAUGUUAUAUUGAUCAAGUUUUCUUCAAGAGUUUGAGGGUGAUUUGCCUUGGAAACCCUAGUUUGACUGGGUAUCUUGAGUAACUUCUCCAACAAGCUAUCUCACCGGGAUUGACAAAUUUCUCAAGGGGAACCUAAAUUUCAUCAUCUUACUGCAGUAUUGAUCGUAACCAUGAGCAAGAAGGGUCAAGAGAUUUGGAAGUUAGCAAGUUGGUGUGAUGGUGGUUGCCAAUGAUUCAUCUGAUCAAAAACUGGGUCCUCCUAGAUCAUAUCUCCUACAAUUUUCACCAUAUUGAAAAAUUAUUUCCAAGAGAAAACUUACUCUAAAUGACAUUAUAAACAACUUUAAUGUUGAAGACUAGAUCUAGUUUUGCUUGGAAAAUCAUUUUCUAUGUUGAAAUAUUAUAGGUCAUUUUGUCUAAACCCUAAUUUGAAAGUCAACUUCCCAAGGCCAUAACUUGCUCAAUUUUUAUGAGAUGAAAUAUUUCCAAGUUUCAAAAUCAAAUUCAAUGUGUCUACUUCAAAUUUGAUGUUUGUAGUGGGAGCUAAUGAUCAAGACUUUAUGAGUCGAUUGGGGUACUAACUGCAAGUGCACAGUUCUAUCGUGUAGUUUUAAAAGAUAUCGAUCCCACAAGGACUUAUGAAUCGAUAUACCGUUUUCUAAGGUUACUUCAUAAAGCUAAGGCGGAUGAUACUUUGAUUGUUUAGGGGAAAAGUUAAAACUAAAAUAAGAUCUAGGUUAAAUAUCAAUUAAGCGGAUAUCGAUAUGUAGUUCGUCGUAAUUAGGGAAUCAAGUCUUCGUUGGUUUCUUGGUUUUAAAAUAAAUCUUUUCAGUAGACACUAUUGAUUAAAAGCCUUUUCUCAAACUCUCGCUCUGUUGAAUAGACCAUGACUUUAAAUUAACGUAGCUGUCACUUAUUAGUUAAGUCCAAAAUCACUUUUUGAAAACAAUCGAAUCUAUAGAAACUCUUUUUAUAAAAAUAAUAACCGUUUAAACACCCUUGUCUCAAACUCUCGCUCUGUUGACUUAGAUUAUAUAAUUAAAUUCAAAUGCUUAACUCUCGUCCUCACAUUUAACUUUUAAAAAUACUUUUUGAAAAAGAUUAGAAUUUAAUUAACUCUAAAAAUUGCUUUCGCCCUGAUCUAGAAUUAAUGUCCAAUUUACACUGUCCAGUUAAAAACUCAAACUUUCGUUCUAUUGAUUUUAACUUCUUUAGUCUUUUACUCUCGUACAAAAACCUUGGUAUUAAACCUGUAAAUUGAGACCAUAAAAAGAGUGAUUUUAUUUUUAAACGUAAUUAAACCAACUUAGUUUUGAUUCCUUCAUUCCGCUUACUUUACAUACCGAUACCUAAAUAAAUUAGCCGGACAUGCUAAACAGAUCUAAACAAUCAUCAUGCUUAAAUAAAUCCAUCUCAGGCAAACAAUAUAAAUAAACAAUAAUGCAGGGCAUAUAUAAAUUCAAACAAUAAUUAAAGAACCUGAAUAAUUAAUGGCAAUCUUGAACACUCCACCACAGACCGGUUGGAUUUGUUCUUGAAUUCUUCAAUCGGACAGGAAAAUAAAANNNNNNNNNNNNNNNNNNNNNNNNNNNNNNNNNNNNNNNNNNNNNNNNNNNNNNNNNNNNNNNNNNNNNNNNNNNNNNNNNNNNNNNNNNNNNNNNNNNNNNNNNNNNNNNNNNNNNNNNNNNNNNNNNNNNNNNNNNNNNNNNNNNNNNNNNNNNNNNNNNNNNNNNNNNNNNNNNNNNNNNNNNNNNNNNNNNNNNNNNNNNNNNNNNNNNNNNNNNNNNNNNNNNNNNNNNNNNNNNNNNNNNNNNNNNNNNNNNNNNNNNNNNNNNNNNNNNNNNNNNNNNNNNNNNNNNNNNNNNNNNNNNNNNNNNNNNNNNNNNNNNNNNNNNNNNNNUUUUAAAAAUACUUUUUGAAAAAGAUUAGAAUUUAAUUAACUCUAAAAAUUGCUUUCGCCCUGAUCUAGAAUUAAUGUCCAAUUUACACUGUCCAGUUAAAAACUCAAACUUUCGUUCUAUUGAUUUUAACUUCUUUAGUCUUUUACUCUCAUACAAAAACCUUGGUAUUAAACCUGUAAAUUGAGACCAUAAAAAGAGUGAUUUUAUUCUUGAACGUACUUAAGCCAACUUAGUUUUGAUUCCUUCAUUCCGCUUACUUUACAUACCGAUACAUAAAUAAAUUAGCCAGACAUGCUAAACAGAUCUAAACAAUCAUCACGCUUAAAUAGAAACAUCUCAGGCAAAUAAUGUAAAUAAACAAUAAAGCAGGGCAUAUAUAAAUUCAAACAAUAACUAAAGAACCUGAAUAAUUAAUAGAGUCUUGAACACUCCACCACAGACCGGUUGGAUUUGUUCUUGAAUUCUUCAAUCGGACAAAAAAUAAAAGUGAAGGAAUAAAAAACCUAGGGUCUAACGUAAGGUUAGAUCCGGUAAAAGAUACACAAUAGUUUCCGGUGUAGAAACUAUUGUGUGAAAAAUUAAUUAAGUGCUGAAAGAUUGACUGGAAAAGAAAAUAAAAAUUGCAAAGANGUUACCUGAGACAAAUAAAAGGAAAAAUACCAAGUAAUAUCGAAUAAAAUGAAAUAAAUCGAAACAAAUAAUAAUAUAAUUUAAUUAAAUCGAGUCCAAAAAUGUGAUAUUAUUUCAUGUUAUCAGCUAAUUCAACUUUUUUGAGCUUGUGAUAUGAGGCUACAUUAUAGGUCACUUUUGACAUAUACCAUUGAUCAAGUGAUUUUUCCAAACUUCAAAAAUGCAUAACUCUAUCAUUUCAAAUCCGAAUGACAUGAAAUUUGUGACCAUUUUGAAAUUAUUUUAGAGAGAUACAACUUUGAUGAAGACACUUUUCUCAUUUGAAGCUCCCAUAAAAAGUUAAGCAAGGUGGAAUAUUGAGACAUAUGGCUUGACACUUAGAAAAAUUUUGAUAUGUCAAAUUUUUCCAAAAUUCCACUUCAAGUUUCUCCAAGUUCCAAGAUUCAAAUGAAAAAGUGUUCAACAUCAAACUUGUUCCUCUUGAUCUCACCUUUCCAAAGAGCUAAAAUUCAUCCAUUUUGGACUUGAAAUGCAUAGGCUGCGCAUGGCUUAAACAGGAUGAUAUCAUUUGGCAUGGAUCCAACUUCAAGCAAAAUGCACAUGUGCCUUGCAAUCCAAUCAAUCUUCAAAGCAUCUGAACUUCAAAUUUGGACUUUUAGCUAUCAUUCCAUGGGCCUAUGUGCACCCAUGCACCAUUCCAUCAUCAUUUUUCCAAUUUUGGAAAGUGGAAAGAGUGUGCAAAUAUCACAUGGAUUCAUCUACAAAUACAGUUGCAUUUGCUCAUAAUUAACACACACAUUGCGCCAGCUUUGAUCCCCCAUUGAAAACCCUUCACUCUUAUAGGAUAACCCUGAUAAAUCAUUUGAAUUUGAGCUUGAAUCUCCAUUGUUUUGGAAUUCAAUUCUCCAGGAAUCCAUUGCUUCUAAACCUUUCCAUUCCUCUCCUGCAAGUGAUUGAAGUGAGUCUAAGUGCAAGCAAACUCAAGAUCCAUCAAGAUCAGACCUCUAUUGAAGGUAAUUUGCAGAAGUUUUCAACUCUUCGAUUCUCUCAAUUUAUUGCUCAAUUCCAUUGAUUCUUUGGUUGUCUGAAGUCCUACCAAUGUAGGCAAGAAGAUUGAGUUGCUUUGGGGUCAAGUCAAAGCAACUCAGAUCAUGUACCUCAUUUUUCAAUUCCACAUAUCUCUUAAUAUAUUUGGAAUUGGAGGAAUUGGAGGUUAGAUUCGAGCUCAACGCCAUUUUCUCUUUAAGAUCAUGUCCAUGUUUCUUUUUUUGGUGAUGGUUCAUGAUGACCAGUCUGAUGAAGCUCACCGGAGAAGAUGACCGGAGCUCUGGCUCCGGCGAUGAUGUGUCUUGCAUCUGAACCAUAGGAUCCUUAAGCCACGUUUUAAUCUGAAGCGUUUGUUUUAAUUACCAAUGGUACAACGCAGUUGACUCAGGAACACAUGGAACGCGCGUUUUGGAUCAUCAGAUCUGCCACCUCAAUUAAUGAGGGAGAUCUGAUGGUCCACGUAAUUUAGCAUUUUCUGAAUUUUGUUUUAAUUGCGUUUUCUUCAAUAAUUCAUAUUAAAUUCAAUAUUGAUCCAAAAAAUAUGGGACUUUCACAAAAAAAAAUCAAAUAUUUUUCUCUUUCAUAUUCUGAAUUAAAAUUAUUUUUUGGAUCAUUAUUAAUAUUUUUUCAUGAAUUAAUGAUUUUCAUUUGUUUUUAGUUGUUUAAAAAUAUUUUAAGUGUCCAAAUUAUGAAAUUUUUUUCUCCAAGGUCCUUUGACCUUGUUGACUGUGAUAAAUCUCAUGGUCAUUUCUUUGGUGUUUGAUGAGAUUUUAGGAUUUGGACAAAAUUAUUUGAAUUUAAUGCAUUAUUUUACUAUUUUUAAUUAAAUAAAUGUCAUUUUAAUUGUGCUUGACCAUUUGUAUUGACUUAGUUGAGUUUGAUUGUUUGUUGUUGGGCCUUGGUCAAGGUUGAUUUGACUUUGUCAAAUUAAUAUCAUUGGAUUUAGGGGAUUGAUGGAAUGUACAUUCCAUCUCCCAAAAUGAAUGAAUGAUAUUAAUUUGGUAAAAGUCCUCUUUUGAUCAAUUUGUGAUCUCAUUCAUCCCUUUCCCUCUUCAUCUAAUUCCCCUUCUUCAUCCAUUCAUUUUCAUUUGGCUAAUGACAUCUCAAAGUCCUAAUGCUAGUUGAUUGGAAAAUUGACAUGAGUAUCGAUGAGAUUAGGCCACACCUUUUUGCAUAUUUUUGUGUGUGGUAUGUUUAAUGAGCAUAGUCCAUAAUACUAUGUCUCCAACAUGCAUUAACACCAAAACUCCAUUGCCCGACCUCAAAUAGUUGUGAAUUCUACAUAAGUCCAAUUACGAUUGCUUAACAUAGCGCUAAAUUUGUGACAUAAAAGGCAUAAGCAUUCUAGUUAGUGAGAUUGUAAGUCACCCCUCUUCCAUGGUAUUGUGUGGAAACUUGGCCUUCUUUCCUUCCUUUGGAAGAUGUGUUGGUUCAAGGAUCCAUGCUUGUGGCAAGUGGGUUGAGUGUUCUCCAAAGAAUGUCUUGAAAUCAAAAGCAAAACAAAACUAACUUCUAACCUACUAACCAUUAACUUUUAAUUUCAAGCUUUUACUUUAAUGCAAUUUACUUUUAGCACUUUAUAUCAUUUGCCAUUAUACAUAUCAUUCUAAUUGUUUAUGUUAAUAUAAUUUUCACUUUGUCUAUUUGGACCAUAUUAUGUGAUAUAUUUUGCUUGUGUUGCUUUAUUUGUGUGGUCUUUGACCAUUUAAUGUACAUAAUAAAAACAAGAACCUUAAAAAACUUUUGUGUGGACUGUUGGCUUGAUCCGUGGACCAAUUGGACUUAGAACUUAUGCAACCUCCCUAAGCUAAUGGACUUGGCCAAUACCAAUUUGUGAAGAACCAAGUGCUUGUAAUUUAAAUUCAUCUGAUACAUCAUUCAAGAUCUCUCAAAGAUUCAUAUACUACAUUGAUCAUUGUUAAGCUGUUAUUUUGAACCUGUGACUUGUGGAAUUCAUCUGUUGCAUGGGUUAUUUUGAAGAAGAUCAUGAAGUGGAUAAGCUUGGAUGAGGCCAUAUUUAUUUGAUGCCUUGCUCUUCAAGAGAAUAUAAUUGUGCAUUUGUGUGUUGCCUGAUUCUAAAAGUCCAAGGGAAUUCUGGGUUUCUAUUGACAUACUUGUCUAUUGGAUUGCUACCCACUUGGUCAGAUCUUUUCAACUUUAAACUUAUAAAUUUUGUGCAUAGGAUAGUCUCUUAAUCUCCUCCCCAUUUCUUUAAUUUCAAAAUCUCUCCCUCCAUUUUCAAAAUCUUCUUUGUGUGAACUACUUUUGUUAUAAACUUUGACCACUUUUAAAAAGAUAGAAACUUUGGCCUUAUGCCAUUGCAUUUUCAAACUUAUUUUCUUAAAUCAAACUUGUAAAUAAACUUAAUAAUACUUGACUUAAACUUUCAAAAAACCAAAAAAGGAACUAACUCAUUCAAAUCAUUUUAGGCCUUUGUGCCUUUCAAAACUUAAAUUUUGUUAAAAUCAACACACUCACUUUGAAAUUUGUAGCACGAACUACGAGGUUUUGAUCCCUCAUUCUUAUGUUGGUACGUAGGCACAAGCCCGAAGGUCGUGUCAAACACAAAAAUAUAAUUAAUGAAUUCUUUUCUCAUUCCCCCCAUUCUAUUUGUUUGUAAACAUCACUUUGUACAAAAUACAUAUGCACACAAAAAGGGCUUCCUAGGAGUACCUAGGACAUUUUGGAUGCUAACACCUUUCCUCUGUGUAACCAACCCCCUUACAUGUGAUCUCUGACUUUUAUUAGUUUUUAUUUGAAAACUUCUUACUAUUUGGGGUUUGUUCGUACUUUUCCCCUUUUCCCUUGGAAACAAUAAAAGCGCGGUGGCGACUCUUGUUAAUUGAUCUUUAGCUUGUCAAUAGCUUGAUGAUCACAAAUUUCCCGCUAUAACUGGAUUUAUUCAAAUCUCUAUAAUCAACACACAUGCGGACUUUUCCAUCUUUCGUUGGUACAAGCACAAUAUUGGACACCCAUUGCGGAUACUCGGAGGUAAGAAGUAAACCAACAUCAAUCUGCUUUUGCACUUCUUCUUUGAUCUUACUGCCAUAUCAGGAUGCGUUCUUCUCAACUUCUGCUUGACUUGCAGGCACUCUGGCUUCAAUGGAAAUCUAUGCUCUACAAUCUCAUAAUACAAACCAGGCAUGUCUUGAUAGGACCAAGCAAACACAUCUAAAUAUUCUCGGAAAAGAUCAAUCAACCCCUUCUUAACAUCUGGACACAGUCGAGACCCAAUCUUGACUUCCUUCACAUCAUCCUCGGAACCCAAGUUGACUAACUCAAUCUGCUCUUUGAACGACUGAAUGGCUUUUCCUUCAUGCAUAAGAAGAUGAGACAAUUCAUCACUCACUUGUUCAUCACUUUCCUCCUCAGCCUCAAACACAGGGAAUUCAAAAUUUGGAGAAGGAGAAGGAUCAUUGUAUUCAAUGGGGUUAGAAACCAACCCGCAUAAUGAUUUUAUAUUUUGAUUUUAGAUAAGUGAUUUGUGACCAAAUAUUAUGCAGAUGAACAAGUUUAUUUAUUUAUUUAUGCUUUUUGUGAUUACCAUUUUCAGAAUAAAGCAAAAAGUAAAAACAAAACAUCAUAGAUGUGGAUGAAUAGAAUUAAUUUUAUUGAUGAUCAAAUUUGAAAAUUCCCAAUAAUGUUGACUUCUCCCUUAGGCAUAGGAGAAGGAUUUUUAAAAACAAAUAAAAGCAAUUACUUAGAUCGAUGCAUAAUAACAGGAAUAUCAACGGCAGUCCAAUUGUCGCAAGCCUUUCUAUGCAUCACAAAAUUGGUGCAGUCUUCCUCUUCGUCAUCCUCUAGCACAACAGCUAAGUGUUGUUCAUUUCCAUGAAUGAACCCUCUGCUACGGAAGCUAAGUUGCAUAUCCUCUGAUCUAGCAGCCGACGAUCCUUGCUGAAAACCCAGACCUGUUCUGUUUUUGUUAUCGGCAACCUCUACCACUCGCCCCUACUAAUCAACAAUUCCUUUUUCAACAAUCUUCCUUGCAUCUUUCAAUGAGGACAUAGGUGCCCCAACUCUCUUUUCAACGGAAAUAGACAAGGCUUGGAACGGAGUUCCAACCUCAUCCUCAUCUUCAACAUAAGAGAAAGAUGACAGGUGGCUAACCAACAACGCAUUUCCCCCGCCAACAAUGACUAAUUUUUUGUUCUUGACAAAUUUGAGUUUCUUAUGCAACGUGGAGGUAACAUCUCUUGCCUCGUGGAUCCAUGGCCUUCCCAAUAGACAACUAUAGGCUGAAUGGAUAUCUAUUACUUUGAAAGUAAUUUGGAAAUCACUCAGACCUAUCUUCACUAGAAGGUCCACUUCACCUAUCAUUGUUUUGCAUGAACCAUCAAAAGCUUUGAUGAUUACACCACUAUACCUCAUAGGCGCUCCUUGAUAUGACAGAUUUGAUAAUGUUGACUUCGGCAACAUAUUCAAUGAAGAUCCGGUGUCAACAAGAACAUUGGAUAAGGCGUCAUCUUUGUAAUUCAUGGAGAUAUCCAAAGCCAGAUUAUGAUUCCUACCCUCCUAAGGGAGUUCCUCAUCAUAAAAACUGAGAUUAUUGCAGGAAGUGAUGUUAGCCACAAUAUGAUCAAACUGAUCCACUGUAACAUCAUGUUCCACGAACGCUUGCUCUAGAACUCUUUGCAGUGCUUCUUUGUGCGCUUCUGAAUUCAUAAGUAGAGACAGAAAUUUUUGAGGGGGUUUGGAGCAGUUGCUCCACCAUAUUAAACUCACUUUUCUUUAUUAACCUAUGUACUUAAUCAUCAUCAUUAGUCUUCAAAUUGCUGGAUUCACCAGACUGACAUUUUGAAGCACUAAUUGGAUCUACUGCAGGCACUUCCACUUUCUUACUGACUAUUGAAUCUUCCACGUCUUUUGGGAACACCGACGCAAACACUAGAUCGUUGCGGGUCACCUUGGUAACAUCAGCAAUGCUCACGACAGAAUUGGUCGUAGGUAAUGGAACAUCUUGACCAUCCUUCACCAUAGUUGCAUUAUACUGAUAAGGCACAGCCUUAUCGGAUGUGUACGGGACUAGACCCGCCAACCGUAUGACCAACGGCGAUACCGAUCUUUGGUUGAUGUUGUUGUUACUAUUGCUAUCAUAUUGAAUUACUACUCUCUCGGGAUUCUUAAACACAAGAACGAUCACAUUCACAUCGUCAUCUACGUGACGGGAUUGUACAAUCUGGAUCAUACCCUCAUCCAUCAACCGCUGAAUGUCCCUUUUCACAAUCUCACAACCUCUUGGGUUAAUAUUACAGAUAGCACAACCAUCAUGGUCAUGUUCAUAAUCGCUCACCAAACGAAUAUCCUUGUGCAUCGUCACCAAGGACCUUCGAAUAAAACGGAUAUCAAACACUUUGAACUCCCUAAGGAAGCCAUCUACCAUGUUGACAGAUGAAUUUCCAUGAGCGGGCAAUGGGUUAGCUUUCACGUUGGGUGUGCGGUCCUCAAAAGACACCAUUACACUUUUCACUAGCUUCUAGACUUCAUAUUUGAGUGGGUAGCAGUUCUCAGUAUCAUGUCUGGGUGCUCCUUGAUGAAAAGCACAACGGAGGUCAGACUUGUACCGCCAUGGAAGUGGUUCCGGUAUUUGUGGCGGAUUUCUCAGUUGUAGCAGGUUCUUGAGAACCAAUAAUGGAUAGAGCUCUGCAUAUGUCAUAGGAAUCGGGUUGAAAGAGACCUUCUUCCUCUUGAAAGUUUAUUAUUGAUGAUUGUUGGUAUUGUUGUUGUUGUAGGUGUUUGCUCGUUAUUGUGGUUGUUGUUGUUGACGUUAUUGUUGCUGAACUAGUACUGAUUGACUAGCUGAAAAAAUGGGGAUUACGGAAGAUACAUGAUGAUGACGUUGACAGGAUGGUUGACUUCUUCUAAUUUGAGGCCUUCUCUGCCUCCCACUAGUUAUUGCGUUGGCUUCAUUGUCCUUCUUCUUACAAAAACUGCUGCCAUAUCUUUUGCUGGAUGAUACCUCCUCCUUUGACAGCCGUCCUUCUCGGACACCUUCUUCUAGCCUCAUCCUCAUAUUUACCAUUUUGGUAAAAUCACUUGGGGCAUUGGUGAUCAUCUUCUCAUAGUAAAAUGAGCUAAGGGUCUUUAGGAAAAUCUUGGUCAUCUCCUUUUCCUCUAAAGGAGGGUUGAUUUGAGCAGCGAGUUCUCUCCACCUCUGCGCAUACUCCUUAAACAUUUCCUUGUCCUUCUGAGAUAGUGACCUCAACUGAUCUCGGUUGGGAGUCAUAUCAACGUUGUACUUGUACUUCUUAACAAAUGCUUCACCAAAUCGUUGAAAGUGCGGAUGCUCACACUAUCCAACCCCAUAUACCAUCUUAGCGCAGCGCCGGUCAGACUGUCUUGAAAGUAGUGGAUUAACAAUUGAUCGUUGUCUUAUUGGGUAGACAUUUUACGGGCAUACAUCACCAAAUGACUGAACGGACAUGUGUUCCCUUUGUAUUUUUCAAAGUCAGGCACUUUGAACUUCACUGGAAUCUUCAUAUUCGGCACCAGACAUAAUUCAACAACACUCUUCCCAAAAAGGUCCUUACCUCUCAGUGUUUUCAACUCCUUGCGCAGCUCAAGAAAUUGAUCCUUCAUUUCAUCCAUUUUCUCAUAAACAUCUGGGCCCUCAGAUUGCUCAGAAUGAUGAAUGGUGUCUUUCACACGAGGUAAGGUAUGCACUACAGGCGGUGUCACAUGCAUGAAGUUUGAAGGCAUUCCCCACGGGAAUCGGCAGGCAUAGCAUGCGCGAAAUAAGUGGAAGUUGCGGGAACGGUAGAGGUAGCCACCUAUGAAAUGUCAGUCCUCUAAGGAGGAGGAGUUGCAGGUGUUGGAGAAGACUGGCUCUGCAUGACUAGAACUGACUCCAUCAUGGAAGUCAGGCGGGCGAUCUCCUCUUUCAGGUCUCUAUUCUCUUACUUAAGAUGUUCCAUGAUUUUGGAGUGAUUGGCGCGAGUAUUGUAUCGAUGAGUCAGCUUGGCUGAAGCACAGAAGAAACACCAAUGAGACAUCUGGCGAAAGAGAAACCUGCUAUGCAAAUGAUGCAUGAAGUGCAAUGCUUGAUUGUUUUUAUUUUCAAGGAACUUACUAUAUUAUUUGCAAAUAUAUAUAUAUAUAUAUAUAUAUAUNNNUAUAUAUAUAUAUAUAUAUAUAUAACAACAAUUGCAACAAUUUGAUAUGACAAAAAAAUCUCGUGUAUUUAUAUAAUUGGAAGGAUUACACUGAGUACAAUUUCAGAAACCAAAUGAAAAAUACAAGAGAAAAUGAAACUAUUCAUCCUAAGGAUCCCUAACAACAACGUCAGAAGAUUUGGAUGCAGGCGUGUACUUCCUUCGAAUGCGUCGAAUCUCAGUCUCAAAAGAAGCCUUCAUCCGAGUCUUCUCGAGGACAAGAUGAUCAACAAUCUUCUUUCAAGCAACGGAAGGCUGAGGCAUGCUAGAAGAUGAAACCUCUGGCUUUCUCUGUCUCUUUGUCACUCGAUCUUCAAGUAGCUCAAUGAGUGCAUCCUUGUCCUUAGACUCAAGCUGCAACUCCUCAUGCUUUUGGCUCAAAGCAUGGAAACGCUCUUCCCACAUAUCAUUCUCUCUCUUCAUCUUGGCGAGCGCGUCUUCCAAUUCCUCUACAUCUUGGUUAGGGAGAGUUAAUGGCUCAACCACAACCAUAGACAUAGGUCUCUCACAAGGAUAAGGCAUCUUCAACUCCAAAGCUCUCUUCUUCACCCAAGUAGUGUAAGCUUCCAAAACUACACAAUUGCGCGGACCGAGCUCGGAUCUUCCUUUCCUAUGCAUAUUAUGCCAAGCAUGCAUAAUCUUCUGCUUCAAAUGUUGGGGAUCUUUACCCUCUUGAUAGAAAAGACCUUCUAACAACAUGUUAUUAGGCUUGUGUCUCAAGGGGAACCAAAGUUGACGAUGAGCCAAAGCAGCGUUGUAGUUGAUUCCUCCUUAUGUACCAAUGAGAGGCACAUUAUAGAAUUCACCACAACUAUCAAUAAUCUCUAAACUGCUCAAAGAAGGAUCAUACCAAACUAUAUCAAUCAUUGAUGAGAGACAUAAGUCUCUAAGACCACCAUAGACAUUGUUUGUUCUCCACAAAAGCAGGCGUCUGAGGCAAGUGCGAAAUAAACAACUUGUACAGAAGAGGAAUGCAACAGACAAUAGUUCCACCACCCUUAGAAUUCCUUAGAUGCAAAGAGAAGUACAUAUCACUUAACAGAGUAGGCACAAGAUUCCCAGUCAAGAAAGUUCUAAUGGCGUUAACAUCAACAAAAACGUCAAUGUUAGGAAACAAAGUUAAUCCAUAGAUGAGUAACACAAAGAUAACUUCAAAAGCAUCCACACUACCGGCUUGAGAAAAGGCAGUAGCUUCUUUAACGAGGAAAUUAGAUGGCAACCCAAAUAAUCCUCCUUUCUUCACCCAACGAGCCUCUAUCUCAGACUUCUUCAAGUGAAGAGCUUCAACUAUAAGAUGAGAUCUGGGAAUCUCUUCCAAUCCACUAAAAGGUACCUUACUAGAAAUAGGUAUUCCCAAGAGAUGGGAAUACUCCUCCAACAUAGGCACAAGCUGAUAAUCAGGAAAAGUGAAGCAACGGUAGAGAGGAUCAUAGAAUUGCACCAAUACACUCAAAAGUCCUUCAACCACAUCAGAAGACAAGACAAAUAGAAGUUUCCCAUGACGUUGCUUGAAGUCCAAGAGAUCUAAUACAAAAUAUGCUAGCUUCCUUAACUCUUUCAAGUCGGGACAUCUGAAACUGUACUUCUUAGUAUUCCUUCGUCCAUAAUCCAUGGUCUGAAAAUAUUUGCAAAUAACACCUCAGUUCCUUGAAAUUUUCGUGUGAUGAAUGUGAGAUGCUCAUGAAUGCAUGAAUGCAACAAUCACAAAUAAGAGAUACAACACAAGGCAAUAAACAAAGGUCAAGGAUGAAUCAAGUCAUUGUCAAUGAUCAAUCAUCCAUUUUGGUGGAUUAUGGUUUACACCUUAUCAACACCCAAGUUCCAUUGAUAUUGACAAGACUUGAUUAGAUCAACCAAGAAUCAAGGGUUUGUUGUGAGUCACGAGCAUGGAGUCUGGAUAAGAACCAUCCCAAAGGAGUGAACUAAGGAUAAACCGAUAGAUCAUGUUCUAAAAAUUUUCCAAAGUCUUAAUUCCAUCUAUCGGAUAUUACAGAUUAAGAUGACUGACUCGUCGGCCCAUAAUAUUCUCAAGAGAAACUCGUCUGAGUGUAGUAUUGCGUAACAACUGUUAUCAAGUCUACACUUGAACAGUCUCCGCACUACGUCCUAAAUAUGCCAAGAGGGGUUAAAUGUUCUACGGUUCUCAGCUUCUCGGACCCCAAAUUAGAGAUAGUAAUGCCUAACCAUAAAUACUUGUGUGACAUUUCCAAAUCCAAAAGGGUAUCCACUAAGAAGAUGGAUCUUAAGCCAACUUGUUAAGUACUACUUUACACAAGUCGAACAUGACUAUACCAUCCUCUUAUCUUAAUUGCACUCAAGUUCGGGUUAGAACUUAUCUCACCACUCAUAGAUCACCAAGCACAACAAGCAAAUUAUAUCAUACAAACAAAUAUAUAGACAUCAGUUAUACAAAAUUGUAUACACACAAAAAAGUAGGAUAAACCCACUGGAGACUACUCCCCAGCAGAGUCGCCACUUAAUUUCUGUAGCGGUAAAUUCAUGAUCAUCGAGCUAUGGAUAAGCAAGACAUCAAAUAACAAGAGUCGCCACCACGCUUUUAUUGUUUCCAAAGGAAAAGGGAAGAGUACGAACAAAACCCAUAACUAAGAAGUUUUCAAAUCAAAAAUAAUAAAAUGCCAGAGAUUACAGGUAAGGGGGUUGGUUACACAAAGGGAAGAUGUUAGCAUCCAAAGUGUCUUAGGUACUCCUAGGGAGCCCUUUCUUGUGUGCAUAUGUAUUUUGUACAAAUGUUGUUUGCAAACAAAAUAGAAUGGGGGGAUGAGAACAGAAUUCAUUAAUUAUAUUUUUGUGUUUGACAAGACCUUCGGACUUAUGCCUACGUACCAACAUAAAAAUGAGGGUUCAAAACCUCGUAGUUUGUGAUACAAAUUUCAAAGUGGAUGCUUUGCUUUUAACAAAAAUUAGGUUUGAAAGGUACAAAGGCCUAAAAAAAGGUUUGAAUGAGUUAGUUCUUUUUGGCUUUUGAAAUCUUUAAGUCAAGUAUAGUUAAGUUUAUUUACAUGUUUAUUUAAGAAAAGAAGUUUAAAAUGCAAUGGCAUAAGGCCAAAGUUUCUAGUUUGAAAAAUGGUCUAAGUUUAGAAGAAAAAAAACAAGCACAAUCAAAGAAGUUUUUUUAAAGGAGGAAGAGAUUUUGAAAUUAAAGAAGUGGGGAAGAGAUGAAGAGACUAAUCCUAAACAUAAAUUUAAAAGUUAUGAGUUGAAAAGAUCUGACCAAUGGGCUGCAAUCCAAUAGACAAGAAUGUCAUAUAGAAACCCAAAUUCCCUUGGACAUUAGAAUCAAGCAUCAAACAAUGCAUACACUAUUAACUUGAAGAGAAAGGCAUCAAAUAAAGAUAGCCACAUCCAAGCUUAACAACUCCAAGAUCCUUAUUAAAUUUGCCCAUGUGGCAGAUGAAUUCCACAAUGCCAUAAAUCACAGGUUCAAAAUAACAGCUUCACAAUGAUCAUGUUGCAGAUGAACUCAAAUGGAUCUUCAAUGAUGUAUCGUAUGAAGUUUCAGAUUACAAGCACUUGGUUACAUGAAAGUUGGCAUUGGCCAAGUCCUUUGCAUAGGGAGUGUUGUCUAAAUUCUAAGUCCAAUUGUCUCAUAUCAAACCAACAAUCCACACAAGAUGUUUUUUUAUGGUUUUGGUUUUUUAUUAUGUACAUUAAUGGUCAAAGACCACACAAACAAACACAAUAUACACAAGCAAAAUAUAUCACAAAAUAUGGCCCAAAUGGACAAAGUGAAAAUGACAUUAACAUAAAUAAUUAGAAUGGUAUAAUAAUGUCAAAUGAAUAAGGCUUAAAAAUAAAAUGCAUUAAAGUAAAUGACUUGAAAUUAAAUGUUAGUUGUUAAUGAGUUAGAAGUUAGUAUUGCUUUUGCUUUUUAUUUUAAGUCAUUCUUUGGAGAACACUCAACCCACUUAUCACAAGCAUGAAUCCUUAAACCAAGACAUCUUCCAAAGGAAGGAAAAAAAAGCUAAGUCUCCACACAAUACCAUGAAAGAGGGGAGACUUACAAUCUCACUAACUAGAAUGAUAUGCCUUUUGUGUCAAAAAUUUAGCGCUAUGUUAAGCAAUCGUAAUUGGACUUAUGUAGAAGUCACAACUAUUUGAGGUCGGGCAAUAGAAUCUUGGUGUUAAUGCAUGUUAGAGACAUAGUAUAAUGGACUAUGCUCAUGAAACAUACCACACACAAAAAGAAUAUGCAAAAGUGGUGGCCUAAUCGCAUCCAUACUUAUGUUGAUUUUACAAUCAACUAGUCUUAGGAUGUAGAUAUAUCAUAGGUCCAUGAUAUGAAUGCAUAAAGAAGGGGAAUAAAAUGAAGAGGGAGGGGAAUGGAUCAAAACUCAAAUUGGACAAAGGAGGACUUUUACCAAAUUAAGAUCAUUCAUUCAUUUUGGGAGAUGGAAUGUACAUUCCAUCAAUUCCCUAAAUCCAAUGAUCUUAACUUAAGAAAGUCAAAUCAACCUUGACCAAGGCCCAACAACACAAGUCAAACUUAUGCAAAUAAUCAAAAUGGCUCAACACAAUUAUUUGGCAUUUAUUCAAUUUAAAAAUACUAAAAAUAAUGCAUUAAAUUAAAUAUGGUUUGUCAAAUUCCUAAAAUAUUAUCAAAACACCAAAGAAAUGGCCAUGAGAUUUAUCAUAGGUCAAACAAGGUCAAAGGACCUUGGAUAAAAAAAAAUUAGAAUUUUUAGAGACUUAAAAGUAUUUUUAAACAAUUAAAAAUAAUCACAAAAUCAAUUAAAUCAUAAAAAAUAUUAAUAAUGAUCCAAAAAAUAAUUUUAAUUCAGAAUAAGAAAGAGGAUUUUAUUUUAAAUUUUUUGGUGAAACUCUCAUAUUUUUUGGAUCAAGAUUAAAAUUAAUAUGAAUUAAUGAAAAUCAAAGAAAUAAAAUGAAAAUCAUAAAAUAGAAAAAAAAACAUGGACCACUUGAUCUCCCUCAUUAAUUGAGGUGGCAGAUCAAGUAGUCCUCAGCGUGCUUUCCACCAUAGUCACUAGUCAACGCGUAACACAAGUGGUAUUUACAAGCAACGCACAAGAUUAAAACAUUUUGAAUUGAUCAUGUGGCACAAGAUUAACACAUCACCGGUGCUAAACCUUUGGUAACCUUCUCAGGCGAACAUCGUCGGACUGGUUCAGUCAUCACCAUCACAUAAAUGAAAAAGGAGGACAUGAUCUGAAAGAAAAAAUGGCGUAGAGCACAAAUUUGACCUCAAUUUCAACUAUAUAAAAAAAAUGAUGAGUUGAAUUUUGAGGUGUGUCAACUGAGUUGCUUCGAUUUGACCGCAAAGCAACUCAAUCUUCUUGCCUAUAUUGGUAGGACUUCAGACAACCAAAGAUCCAAGAGAAUUGAUGAGAAUUGAGUGAGAAUCAAAGAGAAGAAAAUUUCUGGAAAAUACCUUCAAUGUUGUGCAGAACUUGCUCUUCCUUGCUUCAAUUCUUGUUUGAUCUUGCUCCAAUGACUUGCAGAAGUGGAUUAGGAAUGGAAAGAAGCUUUGGAACAAUUCUUGUUUGAUCUUGCUCCAAUGACUUGCAGAAGUGGAUUAGGAAUGGAAAGAAGCUUUGGAUCCUGGAGUUUUUGAAUCUCCAAACAGUGAGAUUCAAACUCAAUUUUCAAGUGAAAAUUAUUAGGUUUUCCUUUGAAUUGUGAGGGUUUGAAGAGAGGGGGAAAAUCUGGCGCGCAAGGAUCCUUUCAAAUGAGCUCGGAGGGUCCAUAUUUAUAGCAUUUGGAAGUGUUAUUUGCACACUUGAAUUUUCUUCCAAAUUUGGCAAUGUCAUGCACAAGUUUGCAUGGACGUGUACAGGCCCAUGAAGCAGUCCAAUUAGGUCCAAAUGCAUCUGAAAUGAGGUUGGAAUGAAGCUUGAAUGGCAAGGCAAUGUUAUGUGAUCAUUUGAACUUUGAUUUCCACCAAUGAUGUAGGCCUGUUAAAACCAUGCGCAACCCUAGCAAACUUGGUCCAAAAUAAAUGAAUUAGAACUAUUUGGAAAGCUUAGAUCAAGAGGAACAACUCUUAGGUUAAACACUUUUCCAUUUGGAACUUGGAUGAAGGUGAAUUUUGAGGUGGAAGUUUGGAAAUUUCAACAUGCUGAAAUUUUUUCUAAGUGUCAAGCCAUAUACCUCAAUGUUCCACCUUACUAAACUUUUUAUGUGAGCUCCAAAUGAGAAACGUGUCUUCAUAAAAGUUGUAGCUAUUUCAAUAACCUUCAAAAUGGUCACAAAUUUUACAUAAUUUGGAUUUAUAAUGAGAGGUUUAUGCAUUUUUUAAGUUGAGGAAAAUCACUUAUUCAAUGGUAUUGGUCCAAAAUGACCUAUAAUGUAUCCUCAUAUCACAUGCUCAUAAAAGUUGAUUUAGAUUUAACUCCAAACAUCAAAGUUGAAUUAGAUAUCUUGAAUUUGAUUUUUCAACUUGGAAAUAUUCCAUCUCAUAAAAAAUGAGCAAGUUAUGGUCUUGGGAAGUUGACUUUCAAAUUAGGGUUUAGACAAAAUGACCUAUAAUGUUUCAACAUAGAAAAUGAUUUUACAAGAAAAAUUAGCUCUAGACCUAAACAUGAAAGUUGUUUGGAAUGUCAUUUAGAGUAAAUUUUCUCUUGGAAUACUUUUCAUAUGGUGAAAAGUAUAGGGAUAGGGUCUAGGGAGACCCAGUUUUGAUGAGAUGAAUUCAUCUGGCCAACCACUAUCAACCAACUUGCUAACUUGGAAUUUUAUUAAAUUUUUAGAAUCAUGGUAGAUCACAUAUGCAUAAUAUGAUUAAUUUUGUAAUGUCCCUUGAUAAAUUUGAUCAAUUGGUGAGGAAGCUUGUUGAAGAAGUUACUCGGGAUACCUAGACAAACUAGGGUUUCCAAGGCAAAUCAACUCCAAACUCUUGAAGAAAACUUGAUCAAAAUAACAUGCAAAGAUCAUGGGGACUCAUAUAUGAUGCUUAGAGACAUUGUGGAUCAUUCCUUGGUUGUUUUCUUAGCCAUGAGGGUUUUAAACCCUGGAUAUGAACUUGAUAGAUCAAUGGGGAUCAUACCCUACCUACAAAAGAGUUAGACAAAUGCAAAGACAUAUUUUUGGUAUUUUGGUUAGUAAAAUGAUAAUAUACAAGUAUGAUACAAUCACAUGGUGCUUGGUGAUCUCUCCCCAAACAAACCCAAUGAAAUAGGGGUAAGGAGGAUGCCAAGGUAUGAUCACAAUGCUAAUGCAUAUGAUGAGAUUGCAUGAGGGAUCUUAGGGUCAAAAUUUGGGGUCUUACAGCUGCCCCUAUUUAAGGACAUUCUAACUGAGGAGGUGAAGGUUAAAAUCUUCGUAUCGACUCAGUAGAAUAGGCUUAAAUAAUAACAUAUAGAAACAAAUGUUGGUCCCUAAGAGACCUCAUGAUGCAUAUGACAUGAAUGUAAAAGCAAUUUCUUUGUGGGGAAAGGUUGCCACAAAGGAAAAGAAAUCAGAGAGACCGAAGGAGUUUCUUGUUGGAUCGAUGCGAGAACCUCACUUAGAGUAGAUUCUUUGGAUAGAGUUGAUGCCCGACAAGUAAGUUUCCAUGGGAAGCAAACAGUCUAAUGGAUCCAUUACUCUAGGAACUUUUUUGAAACCCUAGACCUUACCUGGUGAGAACCCGUUUCUAUACGAAGCAAUCAGACUUAUCCAUACCUCGAGCCUAUUGAACUUAUACAAAAAAAUGCAUCACAUUCAUCCAUAUACAUUGCAUCAACAUCAUAAAAAGCAAACUCUUAGUUGUCUCCUGUAUGUUUCAGGAAUUGAGAACUUGAAAAUGACAACUCCAAGAAGAAACACUUUCUCACUUAAGUACAAGGAACCUAAGCUUGAUAAUCUGAAAGGAUUAAUCUCUGAUUUGACUCUCAGUAAGCGUGAUGACUUCGGAAAAGACUAUGGGAAAAUUUUAAGCCUUCUAACUAAGAAAGUUGACUAUGGGAUUAUCGGCUCUUUGGCACAAUAUUAUGAUCUGCCUCUACGCUGUUUCACAUUUGAUGAUUUCCAACUAGCUCCUACUUUGGAAUAAGUUGAGAGAAUUGUGGAUCUAAUGUUGAAAUAUUUCAAUCCAUUUCCAAAGCUCAAAGAGGAAGUGGGCCCAAAGAAGAUACCUUUAGCCCUAAGUAUCAAUGUCCCAACUGUUCUAACCAAUUGGGUCGAGAAAGGGGGUUUCAAAGGUUUUGCCAUGAGGUUCUUGGAAGAAUUAGCUCUGAAAUUUAAGAAAGAAGGAAAUUGGAACACAUUCUAUACUGUGUUGGUUUUAUUGAUCCAUGGGAUUAUGCUCUUCCCAAAUGUUGAAAAGUUGAACACAUUUCUCUUAGCUGAUGUUUACCAUGCCCUUCACGCUUGAAAUGAAAAGAGGAGUGGAGCUUUGUUAUGCUGUGCUCCUUUGCUUUAUACCUGGUUCAUGCAACAUAUGUGAAAUUCUAGUUAUCAGACUUUGGAUGUCACACUGGUUGUUAUGACAUCCAAUUCUGCACAGACAGGGAUUAUGCAGAACUUAACAGUAAGUGCAGUAAAUAACACAAGUAAUUGUUCACCACUGGAUGUUGUGCACACUCAUACCUGUUAACCGACCAAGCCAGGGAGGAAAUCCACUAUUAGUAGUAUCAAUUCAAAGCUAAACUCACCCGUUUACAACUUAUCACUUAAUCCCUACCCAAUGCAAUUUCAAUCUUAACCUAAGAUCAGAGUUCCUACUCACUCCCCCUCAAUCACCUCAGUGAUAUUAAAGACACUUUGAAGUCACACUUCAAAAACAACUCUUGAUUAUGCUUCACAGCUUAAAUCAAGAUACACAGCACUCACGCUUAAAAGCUUUGAGUGACACAACACUUACAACUCAAUGAACACCCUAUGCCAAAGCAAUCAUCUACUUGAUAAUGGCUUGGCUUACAAGAUACGUCUAAUACAAGACUCACAAAAUACAGCAGUGAAGUAUGAUGGACACACUAACUCUUCACGCUUCAAAAUCCCCGAAACUGAAUGAAGGAAUGCCUUCCUUUUUAUAUUGCAGCACCUGGGCUUUUGCACCUGUAUUUUCCUGAAUUUUAGGUCACACAAGUUCCCUCAAAUUCAACAUUUAGGUUGCUAACAAAUAGGCUAUUUGUUAGGUUCAUUGAAUGUAGCUUGGUUGUUGAUUUCCUGGAUUUUCUCUCAGCUGUUGAAUCCCUAAAGAAUAGCCUGAGAAAAAGCUGAAACAGAAAACUGAACAACCUACAAUUUAGCAUAUGCUGUCAGGCAUGAAUGUCACGACAUUCAGCUUGACAUCAAGGUCCAUAUGCUGAGUCUGUUUUUCCAGAAAACAGACUGUACAAAUUUGCUGACCUGUACAUGAUCAAAAUGACCAUACUACAGUAACAGCUUACAUUAAUAAAUGUCAAAGUGUCCAACUUAACAUUUACACAUUUGGCCUUAAGUUAGUUCUGUUAUUCUCUUGAAGAACAAACUAAGUUAUAUGCUGAAGUAUAGCAGAACACCACUCUGCCUAAUCUUCAGUAGCUGCUGUCAAUGAUGAAUGUCACAACAUCCAGUUUGACAUUCAGUCAGUAGGCCUUAUGCCAGGUCUGGUUCUUCCUUGAUAACCAGACUGCAAAUAAAUACUAAGUUCUAACAGAACUCCUGCUGUUCUAUUCCUUAGUAUCUGUUGACAGGUAUGAAUGUCACAGCAUUCAAUAAUCCUGUGUUAGCUAGUCCUGCAGUAACUACAAUGUAGUCACAUAUACAUGUCAUGACAUCAGUCAAGACAUUAGUGUUUUACCAUAUAAUGCAGCCAAUUAAACACCUACAAACUCCCCCUUUGGCAAAUUUUUGGCUAAAACACUUUGAUCCCCAUAACAGAGUUCAUGGCAGCGGAAUACUACUAGCUAAUACACUCAGAGUGGCAGCACACUCACACACAUGGAAGUUAAAUAAAAACUUCGCAUAGCAGCACACACAUAUUAGAAGUUGCACCUAAACUUCAACAUCAGCUGCAGGGGGGAAUCUUCAGAUCUGUCAUGAGAGUCUGUUGUAGAGACCCACUCUGUUUGUCAGGGGUAUUGGUGGUUAUUACUCCCCCUUUUUGUCACAAAUGUUGCCAAAGCCAACAACAUAGUCAGAGCACAAUGACAGAGUUCCAGACUUGGUUUUACUUCACAGUUUCAACCAAGUUAACAUCCACUUGAUCUUGCUUCACAGCUUCGAUCAAGUGAUCACCCACUUUUGCUUUACAGUAGGUACCACCAUAUCAGAUGCCAUGAUUUUGUUUCUGACAUCCAGAACCACUCCUGCAUGAACAGCAUCCUUGAACUCCUGCAGGUACAGUGGCCUUCUCUCUGUAGGGUGUCUCCUUACCCUCUUGUAUCCACCCUUGUUGCAAGCAGCAUAGCUAUGAUCUGUUGACCAAUCAUAGCCUAGUACAAAUUGUUUAAUAGGCAGAGAUAUUAAACAAUUUAUCCCAAACAUCAGUGGUUGCUAUAAGGUCUCAGAGAGACAUAUUCCCAGUUUGCUCCUUAAGUUUUCAAACUGAGUAGCAUCCAGAGCCUUUGUAAAUAUGUCAGCCAGUUGAAGAUCCGUGGCUACAUGUUCCAAAGUGAUCACCUUGUCUUCCACCAGAUCUCUGAUGAAGUGGUGCCUAAUGUCAAUAUGUUUGGUCCUGCUGUGUUGGAUGGGAUUCUUGGAGAUGUUGAUGGCACUGAGAUUAUCACAGAACAAUGUCAUGACAUUUUGAGUGACAUUGUACUCAGUGAGCAUUUGUUUCAUCCAAACCAGUUGGGAGCAACUGCUUCCAGCAGCUAUGUAUUCAGCCUCUGCAGUGGACAGAGAGACACAAUUCUGCUUCUUGCUGAACCACGAUAUGAGGUUUUCUCCUAAGAAGAAACAUCCACCUGAUGUGCUUUUUCUGUCAUCAGCACUUCCAGCCCAAUCAGCAUCACAGUACCCAGAUAGGACAGGCUCAGACCCAUGUGAAUACAGCAUCCCAUAGUCACACGUCCCAUUGAUGUACUUGAGAAUCCUUUUGACUUGAUUCAAGUGGCUCACCUUGGGCUCUGCUUGGUAUCUGGCACACACUCCAACUGCAUAGGAAAUGUCAGGUCUACUUGCAGUUAGAUACAGCAGACUACCUAUCAUGCUUCUGUACAGGCAUUGAUCAACACUAGGCCCUCCAUCAUCUUUGGUUAACUUCAGAUGAGUAGGAGCAGGAGUCCUCUUGUGCCUGGCAUGAUCCAUACCAAACUUCUUAACUAUGUUCUUGGCAUACUUGCUUUGGGAGAGAAACAUAGAGUCCUCCAUUUGGUUUACUUGCAUUCCAAGGAAAUAGGUCAGUUCUCCCACUAGACUCAUUUCAAACUCAGACUGCAUCUGGUGAACAAAUUUUUUAACCAUUUGUUCUGACAUUCCACCAAAGACUAUAUCAUCAACAUAGAUUUGAGCUAUCAUGAUUUUGCCUUCUUCAUCCUUCACAAACAAGGUUUUAUCUAUGCCACCCUUUCUGUAUCCAUUUGAGGUCAGAAAUUCGGUUAACCUUUCAUACCAAGCUCUGGGUGCUUGCUUCAACCCAUACAAGGCUUUCUUCAACUUGUAUACAUGCUCAGGUUGGUUAGGAUCACAGAACCCUUUGGGUUGUUCCACAUAGACUUCUUCAUUCAGGUAGCCAUUCAAGAAUGCACUCUUCACAUCCAUUUGGAAUAGCUUAAACUUCAGGAUGCAUGCUACCCCCAACAGCAAUCUGAUGGACUCAAGUCUAGCCACAGGAGCAAAUGUCUCAUCAAAGUCUACUCCUUCAACUUGAGUGUAUCCUUGAGCUACUAGUCUUGCUUUAUUUCUAGUAAUUACUCCUUUCUCAUCAGAUUUGUUUUUGUAGAUCCACUUGGUACCAAUGAUGUUGGACCCUUCAGGUCUUGGAACUAGCUCCCAUACUUCAUGCCUUGUGAACUGCUCGAGUUCCUCUUGCAUGGCAAUGAUCCAGUAUUCAUCAGUCAGGGCUUCUUUCACAUUCUUUGGUUCAACCUUGGAAACAAAGCAGGAAUUUGAGUUUAUUCCUCUUGACCUGGUAGUUACACCACUGGUGGGAUCCCCUAUGAUAAGAUCCUUAGGGUGGUCUUUCUGAAUUCUGAUAGAUGGCACUUUGGUGGGUGCUUCUACUUCACAUUCAGGAGGAGGUUCCUGUACUUCUUCAGGCUUGACUGGACUGUCAGUUGGACUGUCAAGGAAUGUUUCAACAUCCUCCAUGACAUCGGUUCCUUCCUCUUUAUCAUCCACAAUGACAUUUAUGGACUCCAUCAGGACAUUGGUCCUGUAGUUGAACACUCUAUAGGCUCUGCUGUUAGUGGAGUAUCCCAGAAAUACGCCUUCAUCACUUUUGGGAUCUAGCUUCCUUCUCUGUUCACGAUCUGUGAGAAUGUAGCAUUUACUUCCAAAAAUAUGAAAGUACUUCACAGUGGGUUUUCUGCCCUUCCAUAUUUCAUACAGAGUGGAGGAGGUUCCUUUUCUCAAGGUGACUCUGUUGUGAACAUAGCACGCGGUAUUCAUUGCUUCAGCCCAAAAGUGCAUAGGGAGCUUCUUUGCAUGAAUCAUUGCUCUGGCAGAUUCUUGAAUAGUUCUAUUUUUUCUUUCAACUAUUCCAUUCUGCUGAGGAGUUAUAGGGGAGGAGAACUCAUGGCUUAUUCCUUCAGAUGAGCAAAACUCAUCAAACUUGGAAUUCUUGAAUUCAGUACCAUGAUCACUUCUAAUCCGGACCACACAACUGUCCUUUUCCCUUUGAAGUCUUAUGCACAGAUCUUUGAAGACAUCAAAUGUAUCUGACUUCUCUCUGAUGAAGCUUAUCCACGUGUAUCUGGAAUGGUCAUCAACCACCACGUAGGCAUACUUCUUCCCACCAAGACUUUCAACCUGCAUAGGUCCCAUUAGGUCCAUGUGCAGCAGUUCCAGAACUCUGGAGGUUGUGGAAUGUCCCAGCUUUGGGUGUGACAUCUUGGUUUGCUUGCCCACUUGGCAUUCUCCACAGACUCUUCCUUCAUCAAUCAGAAGCUUUGGCAUUCCUCUGACUGCUUCCUUGGAUAUGAUCUUCUUCAUUCCCCGUAAGUGGAGAUGUCCAAGUCUUCUAUGCCACAGCUUCACCUCCUGUUCUUCCUUGGCUGAGGAGCAUGUUGUGGAAAAGUUAGAGAGAUCAGGUUCCCACAGGUAGCAGUUGUCUUUGGACCUGGUUCCUCUCAUAACUUCCUGAUUGUCACCAUUUGUCACAAUGCACAGCUCCUUAGUAAACUGAACAUGAAAACCUUGAUCACACAGCUGACUUAUGCUGAUGAGGUUUGCAGUUAGUCCUCUUACUAACAGCACAUUGUUCAGUUUUGGCACUCCAGAACAGUCCAGUUUGCCCACACCUCUUAUUUUUCCUUUGGCACCAUCACCAAAAGUCACAUAGCUGGUGGUGUGAGGUUGAAUAUCUACCAGUAGAUUUUCCAUACCAGUCAUAUGUCUUGAGCAUCCACUGUCAAAGUACCAGUCUUCUCUGGAAGAAGCCCUUAGGGCAGUGUGUGCUAUCCUAGCAUACCAUUGUUGCUUCUUAAUGGGAACACAUCGCUUACGUGUUUUAUGCUUAGGUCUGACAUGUGAGGCUCUGUUAGGGAAGCCAUGAAUCCAGUAGCAGAAGGCUUUUAUAUGUCCAAGCCUGCCACAGUGGUGACACCUCCAAUUCUGGUAUAUUCUCUUCUGAUGAUCAUUCAUCCUAGCUCCUCGAUGUUGAGACAUUGGCUUUGACAUCUGCUUGAACUUCUGAACUCUAGCCUUUGGGCGUUUGUGUUCAGCUCUUUUUCCAAAUCCUAGCCCAGAUUUGGUUCCAGACUGCUGUCCCACCUUUAGAAUUUCUUCCAAGGUGUCAGUUCCCUUAUUCAUCAUUCUGAUGGAUUUGGUCAUCUGGUUCAGCUUGGAGGUCAGAAGGGCUAUCUCAUCAUUUAGCCCCUCUAUGGCAGACAGUUGCUUCUGUCUCUCAUCUUCCAGUUCCUUGAUGAGUUUCUUCUGCUUUUCUCCUUGUGCACGCACUUCUGCACUGGUGGUACACAGCUUCUUAUAUGCUGCAGCAAGUUCAUCAAAUGUCAGCUCAUCUGCACUUGUGUCAUCUUCAGAGACACACACACUGGUUAGUGCAGUGACAUGUUUGGCAGAUUCUCCUUCAGAUUCACUUUCAGAAUCUCCUUCAGACCAUGUGAUAGCUAGCCCCUUAUUUUGCAAUUUGAGGUAAGUAGGGCAUUCAGCUCUGACGUGUCCAUACCCUUCACAGCCAUGACACUGGAUUCCCUUCCCAUGGUUGAACUUCUCCUCAGAAGUUGAUCUUUUCUUAAUGUCAGACGGGAUGUUCUUGACAUUAGGUCUACCUCUUUGAUCAAUCUUCUUCAUGAACUUGUUGAAUUGCCUCCCAAGCAUGGCUAAGGCUUCUGAUAUACUUUCAUCACCUCCAGUAUAUCCUUCUUCUGACUCCUCUUCAGCAUUAGAUAUAAAGGCUAUGCUUUUCUUCUUCUCAGCAUACUCACCUAAGCCCAUUUCAAAGGUUUGGAGAGAACCAAUGAGCUCAUCUACCUUCAUAUUGCUGAUGUCCUGAGCCUCCUCUAUGGCAGUGACCUUCAUAGCAAACCUCUUAGGCAAGGACCUGAGAAUCUUUCUUACAAGUUUCUCUUCAGUCAUUUUCUCACCUAGUCCACCAGAGGUGUUUGCAAUUUCAAGAAUAUUCAUGUGAAAGUCAUGAAUAGUCUCAUCCUCUUUCAUCCUCAGAUUUUCAAACUUGGUGGUCAACAUCUGAAGUUUGGACAUCUUCACCUUGGAAGUACCUUCAUGAGUUACCUUGAGGGUAUCCCAAACUUCCUUAGCUAGUUCACAAUGGUGCACCAGCCUGAAGAUGUUCUUAGUGAUUCCAUUGAACAGUGCAUUCAAGGCUUUGGAAUUUCCAAGAGCUAAUGCCUCUUGUUCCUUGUCCCAAUCUUCUUCAGGAAUCUGCACACUGACUCCAUCUUCAUCAGUCCUCGUUGGAUGUUCCCAUCCCUUGUUGACAGCUCUCCAGACUUUGCUGUCUAGAGACCUUAAGAAGGCUAUCAUGCGAGGCUUCCAGUCAUCAUAAUUAGAUCCAUCCAACAUGGGUGGUCUGUUUGAGUGUCCUAAAUCCUUGUCCAUGGUACUAGAAAGUAACUUCCCUAGAUCUCACCCAGAACUUCACAGGCAGGGUGCCUGCUCUGAUGCCAAUUGAAAUUCUAGUUAUCAGACUUUGGAUGUCACACUGGUUGUUAUGACAUCCAAUUCUGCACAGACAGGGAUUAUGCAGAACUUAACAGUAAGUGCAGUAAAUAACACAAGUAAUUGUUCACCCAGUUCAGUCCAACAUGACCUACAUCUGGGGGCUACCAAGCCAGGGAGGAAAUCCACUAUUAGUAGUAUCAAUUCAAAGCUAAACUCACCCGUUUACAACUUAUCACUUAAUCCCUACCCAAUGCAAUUUCAAUCUUAACCUAAGAUCAGAGUUCCUACUCACUCCCCCUCAAUCACCUCAGUGAUAUUAAAGACACUUUGAAGUCACACUUCAAAAACAACUCUUGAUUAUGCUUCACAGCUUAAAUCAAGAUACACAGCACUCACGCUUAAAAGCUUUGAGUGACACAACACUUACAACUCAAUGAACACCCUAUGCCAAAGCUAUCAUCUACUUGAUAAUGGCUUGGCUUACAAGAUACGUCUAAUACUAGACUCACAAAAUACAGCAGUGAAGUAUGAUGGACACACUAAAUCUUCACGCCUCAAAAUCCCCGAAACUGAAUGAAGGAAUGCCUUCCUUUUUAUAUUGCAGCACCUGGGCUUUUGCACCUGUAUUUUCCUGAAUUUUAGGUCACACAAGUUCCCUCAAAUUCAACAUUUAGGUUGCUAACAAAUAGGCUAUUUGUUAGGUUCAUUGAAUGUAGCUUGGUUGUUGAUUUCCUGGAUUUUCUCUCAGCUGUUGAAUCCCUAAAGAAUAGCCUGAGAAAAAGCUGAAACAGAAAACUGAACAACCUACAAUUUAGCAUAUGCUGUCAGGCAUGAAUGUCACGACAUUCAGCUUGACAUCAAGGUCCAUAUGCUGAGUCUGUUUUUCCAGAAAACAGACUGUACAAAUUUGCUGACCUGUACAUGAUCAAAAUGACCAUACUACAGUAACAGCUUACAUUAAUAAAUGUCAAAGUGUCCAACUUAACAUUUACACAAUUGGCCUUAAGUUAGUUCUGUUAUUCUUUUGAAGAACAAACUAAGUUACAUGCUGAAGUAUAGCAGAACACCACUCUGCCUAAUCUUCAGUUCCUGCUGUCAAUGAGGAAUGUCAUAACAUCCAGUUUGACAUUCAAUCAGUAGGCCUUAUGCCAGGUCUGGUUCUUCCUUGAUAACCAGACUGCACUUAAAUACUAAGUUCUAACAGAACUCCUGCUGUUCUAUUCCUUAGUAUCUGUUAACAGGUAUGAGUGUCACAACAUCCAGUUUGACAUUCAUUAAAUCAUGUGUUAGCUAGUCCUGCAGUAACUACAAUGUAGUCACACAUACAUGUUAUGACAUCAGUCAAGACAUUAGUGUUUUACCAUAUAAUGCAGCCAAUUAAACACCUACAAUAUGCCCGAAAAGGCCCUUUUGUGGUAAAGGAACUUAAAUCUCCUCAAAGACUAGCUUCUCUCACUGCAAGUUCCAUUAGAUGGUAUAUCCGAGAGUGGGAAACCCCAAACAUCAUUGUCAGUUAUGGGGAAUUUCCUAAUGUACCAUUGUUAGGUAUUAAGGGUUGCAUCAAUUAUAACCCUAUGUUAUCUCGAAUGCAACACAACUACUCCAUGGAUGGUCCUCCUGAAGCAAAGGACUUACAACCAUUUAUGCUCUUUGACAUCCAAGCAAGUAAUCCUGAUGUAAGAGUGAUCCGAAAGGCUUGGUUGAAGAUUGUUAGGAAGGGUAAAGAGUUUAGAAAAAGAAACAUUCUUGUCAAAGAACCUUACACUCGAUGGGUGAAAGAAAGAGUUGAAGAAAUACAUUUGCCAUUUAUCUUUAAUGCUUUAGAUUUUCCUAAAAUUCCUGAGCCAAAGCCCACACUCCCUGAGGACAUGGAGAAACUCGCUGCUAAGGUUAAGGAGCUCGAUUUGGAGAACACCGAAUUACGGAUUCAGAUGACUCGAGCUAUCUUGGAAAAUCAAAAUUUGAAGGAUGAACGUAAGGGGAAAGCCCAGGAACUUGAAGAUAGUAAUAAGAGAGUCAGGCUAUUGGAAGACCAGAAGGAUGAUCUUGAUCAUAUCCUUAUAGGUUCCACAUCAGUGAUCCAGACCAGAAAGGAAGAGCUCAAGAAAGUUGAAUAUAGAUUUUGUGAGUUAGGAAGGAUGUUGGAUAGGUCUCUAAUGGAAAAGAAAGAAAUUAAGCUCGACUUUGAGGCACAGAUCCGUGAACUGAAGGACACUCUGAAAAAAUGCAAAGAAAAGUUGUCCCACGAGAUACUCCAAAAGGAAGAAGCUGAAAGAAACUCUCACCACCUCAAGUACCAGUUGGAAAAAGCUAAUAGGAGGUUUGCAGUUUUGGAGAGCCAAGAAGGUGAUGCAACCUACUUGCUCCUAAAGAAUGAUUGUGUGUAUUGGAAAAGGCUGUAUAGAGAGGCUAGAGCAACCUUAGAUGAAGAUCAGCAGGUCAUCGAGAAACUCCAAGAGCUUUAUGUUGAAUGGAAUGGAGAAUUCCGCAACUUAGCUAGAUUUGUUAACCUCAACAUGUUGGAACUCCCAUAAAAACUCCAAGAAGCUGAUUGGUGUAUGUGUUCAGAAAACACACCUCCUCAAGUUUUUAAUUUUGUCAAGUUUUGCAAGAAAAUGGUGAAGGAGCUCACCGCAGAUCUUGCUACGAUCAUAAGAGCUGAGAUGGAGCUUAAGUUUACUUGUACUUGAAUUUGAGUUGUUGGUGUUUAAAUCUUUUGUAUUUGAAUUUGAAUCAUUUGUACUUGAAGUUAAAUCAUUUUGUAUUCGAAUUUGAUUUUAAUUAAUGGAAGUUGUCAUUUUGGGUCUCAAUUAUUAUGUUUUAUUCUUAUUUAAUAUAUUCUAACAUUGCUGGAAUAAAUAAUAAAGAUAACUAAGAGCUUUUCACGAAAUUCACCCAUAACAUGCAUUCAUGUCAUUCUUCAAACAAAAAAAACUCAUUGUUGUGUCUUCUUCAGUUCCACACUAAGUCCUCAACAACACUAAAACACCAGAGCCAACGCUCGUCAAAGAAUGGCAGAUCAAGAACAAGAAUUGGAGAGAGUAAGCUCAGAACUUGAGGACCUACGAGGAAACAUGGGUCAAGUCAUGGAGAUACUACAAGUCAUUAAGGCCAAGUUGGACACCCAAACGACGGUUGUUUCAGAAAUUACCGGUCCUAUGACUGAACCCUAACCUGCAAGGACAGUGCCUACCACUUAGCCAGCCUACGAUUUACCUCCCGACUUUACACCUUCAGUUGAAGGCGCCCCUGGUUUUGUAUAAUCCACUAAGCAGACGGUUCCUCUACUAACUAUCAAUGAAACUCAUCCCUUGGUCCACACGUUUGCACCACCCCUUGCCCAUGCACACAUGCAACCUUAUUUUGAAGAUCAACAACAUGCUCCGGACUUUUCUGACGAAGAUGAUGAAAGGCAUGAAGACAUUAGAGGAAUGAAAGAUAAUUUCCAUAUUCUUGAGAAAAGGUUUAGGGCUAUGGAAGGUGACCAAGUAUUUGGUGAUGCUACUAGGGAGAUAUGCUUAGUGUCUGGUCUUGUGAUUCCCGUAAAAUUCAAGACCCCAGGUUUCGAUAAGUACGAGGGUCACUCGUGCCCUAAAAGUCACCUCAUUAUGUACUAUCGAAAAAUGGUUGCGCACGUAGAGGACGAUAAACUUAUGAUACAUUGCUUCCAAGACAGCUUGAGGGGUGCUCCCUCUAAGUGGUACUUAAGCCUUGAUUAAAGUAGAAUUCGUUGUUUCUAAGACUUAUCUGAUGCUUUCAUCCAGCAUUAUAAGUAUAACAUGGAUAUGGCCCCGGAUAGGAGGCAAUUACUCAGCAUGUCCCAGAAAGAUAACGAGACUUUUAAGGAAUAUGCACAACGAUGGAGGGAAGUGGCCUCGUAAGUCGAACCACCCCUUGUUGAGAAGGAGUUAGCAGAUUGGUUCAUGGAUACAGUAAAGCCCAUGUUUUAUGAAAGGAUGGUGAGUAGUGUAUUGGCAAGUUUCUCUGACUUGGUUGCGGUGGGCAUAAAAGUCGAGCUUGGAUUGAAGAAUGGAAAAAUGAUAACCACCACUGAAACAUCUGGUAAUAAUGUCAAAAAGUUUUCCGGAGAUUUUCAAAGAAAGAAAGAGGGUGAAACAAACGCAGUGUCAACUAGUCAAAGAAGGAGUCACUCAUGGAAGAAGCAAUAGCAAUUUGCUCAGUAACAACCAACUUACCCAGUGCAGUAUAUUCAACAACCGUAUGUGGUAGUAGUCACGCCAACUUUCAACCAAUCACAAGCUCAUGUUUAUCAACAUGUUCAACAAGCACCAGUAUACCAGCAAGCACCCACGGCACCCGCUUAUCAACAGCCAAGGGCACAGGCUCCACAUCCACAAAAUCUUCCAAAUCAAAAUAGGGUACAAAGAGGUAGACCUCCUUUCGCUUCAAUCCCUAUGACGUACACUGAGUUAUACCCAUCAUUGUUGCAAAAAGGGUUGGUGACUCCCAAACCAUUGGGUCCUCCACCAAAUCCUUUACCUCCAUGGUACAAUCAAGAUGCCCAUUGUCCUUUCCAUGAGGGUGCCCCUGGGCAUGAUUUAGAGGGAUGUUAUGCUUUGAAACAUAUUAUGCGAGAGUUAGUUGAGAAGAAGAUCCUUUCAUUCCGAGAUGUUGGACCCAACGUAAAAAGUAACCCUCUGCCGGCACAUGGUGAUGUUAAUUCCAUUGAGGAUGUUUAUGAUGUUUGUAUAAUAAAAAAUGUUGAAGAUGUUAAAACUCCGUUGCUAGCCCUCCAUGCAAGAUUGGUGGGAGUUGGUUUGAUUGAUACAUGUCACGAUAACUGUGAAGAAUGUGUUGUUUAUCCAAGAGGGUGUAAAUU